Molecule: long non-coding RNA, 79795 nt
Filed under: Capsicum annuum
Lineage: Eukaryota; Viridiplantae; Streptophyta; Magnoliopsida; Solanales; Solanaceae
Description: long non-coding RNA (CANN_LNC007217)
Source: RNAcentral
GAUGUGAUGGUAGAUAAAUUCAAGAUACUUAUUUUGUAUGCACUUAGAAAUAUAAAAGUAGCAGAUAUAAGAAAAAUAAUAUUAGAAAAAGCUUUUGGUAAAAAUUAUAUGUCUAGAAUAAGCUAUAUACCACAAAUACCUAACGACUCUUAUAAAUACUUAAGGUGAUAAGUUACAUAAAAAAAAAAAGAAGAUAAAAACAAAAACUUUUGCAGUUACUAGAAAAAAUAAAAAUAAACACAUGGAAAAUAAAGAUAUAAAAUUUCUUAAUAAAAAUAUGCAAAAACUACUAAGACUAAAACAAACAGCUACAAAACAAUUUUAAAAAUAGAUCAUUUAGAUUAUCUUAAAGUUUUAAUAUUAUAUAUACUUAAAAACAUAGAAAUUAUAGAUAUUAAGAAAAUAAUAUUAGAAAAAGUAAUAGACUACGAAAUUGAAACUAUAAAUUAUCUAGAACAGUUAUACGAAGAAAUUUACCCAGAAGGAUAUUAUUCAGAUUAAAAAAUGUUAGAAUAUAUUAGACAAACUAGAGAAAAUCAAGAAAAUCUAAAUAAUGAAAUUAAUUAUAGAAACCGAAUUAGACAAAUAAUGAAAGACCUAAAAGAAAAAUUAAUAUGUAACUCUGCAAUUACUACAGGAUAAAAUAAUAAACCAAACAAAUUAAUGAAUAUAUCUUACGAAAAAAGUAAAUCAUUAAAAGAGAUUGAAACAAAAUUUAAAAAAUAUCCACGCACAAAGAAAAAUAGAUUCAUUAGAUACCUAAUAAAUCUAUUUCAUACGUCAGAUAUCCGCACCCCACUACAAUACCUAAUAAAUCUAUUUCAUACAUCAGAUAUCCGCACCCCCCUACAAUUAAUAUAUAACAAAUUAUUCUUUUAGAUAUUUUAAGUUGUUAACUAUUGUAAUUUAUAAUACAUUUUAUAUAAUUUUAAAAUAAUAUAUGUUACUCUCCUUGUCUAAACUUUUGUGACAUUGAUAGUCAAUUAUAUUUUAAAAAUAAUUUAAUUUUUUAAUUAUUGUGACUUAUAAUACUUUUUCUUCUAUUCUAAACUAAGUGGAAUAAUGCUUGUUGGCCAUAAAAAUUAAUUAGGGGUGAUAUAAUAAAAUCACAAUUGAAGCAACGAAGUAGACAUAUCUUAAAUGAGUCACAACAACUAAUUAAAAGUGAUAUACAAAAUUACUAUAAAAAAUACUUGUAAAAACAUUUAAGUAGACUUCAUAUAAGAUGUUAAGUUAGUUUAAAACAUCAAGACUUAAUUUAUCAUUUUAUAUCUAUUUUAUAUUUUUUUUAUUAAAUAUUAUUAUUUUUUAAUAGUUAGACGACUUAUAAUAAUUAAUUAGGGGUGAUAUUUAGUAAAAUUACGAUUGAAGCAAUUGAAGCAGACUUGUCAUAAAUGUCUUUUUUACAUUUUCAUUAAAUAUUUUUUAAUAUAUAAAUAACUAAUAAUAAUCAAUUCGAAAUGAUAAAGUACAAUCACAGAGCAAGCAGCUGAGGCAGUGCCACAUAAGCAGAGAUAUUUUGACGCUCUGCUUCCUGCUUUACUUCUUGUUAGUAAGUAAAUUUAAAAUAAUUUAAGUUUUUAAUUAUUGUGAUUUAUAAUACAUUUUCUUCUAUUUCAAUUUAAGUGACAUAAUACUUGAUGACUAUAAUAAUUAAUUAAGGGCGACAUAGUAAAAUCACGAAUGAAACAGACAUUCCAUAAAUGUCUGUUUUACUUUUUUAUUAAAUAUUUUAUUUUUUAAUAUAUAUAAAUAACUCAUAAUAAUUAAUUAAAGAUGAUAUAAAAAAAUCACGGAGCAAGCAACAUAAGCCGGCAUGUCAAUGCUCUGCUGCCUGCUUUACUUCUUAUUAAUAAGUAAAAGCGGCAAAAUGUUUGAUGGAUAUAAUAAUUAAUUAGGGAUGAGUAAAAUUAUGAUUAAAAUAGUUGAAGUAAACAUGUCAUAAAUAUCUAUUUUAUAUUUUUAUUAAAUAUUAUUAAUUUUUUAAUAUAUAAAAAAAUUAUAAUAAUUAAUUAAGAGUGAUAUAGUAAAAUUAAAAAACAAACAGAUGAAACAGAUAAGAUAAGCCCAUGUUCUCAGCUUAGUAAAUAAAAUAAGUAAUACAAGCUAAUUAUAAGGUCCCCAUAAUUUGCCAAGAAUUUCUGUCCCCAAAUUAGUUGCUUCUCUCGUCUUAUAGUUUUGUGAUUUUAAUUAAACGACAUACAAUAUUUGAUUUUAUAUUCGUUUUAUUCUUCGCAUUUUAAUCGAUAUGAUAUGAUUUAAUUAAAUAUAUAAGUUAAAUAAGAAAGAAAAAAAGAAUUUUAAAAAAUUAUAACUAAAAUAUGUGAUGAGUAAUUUUGGAGAUAAAAUUAGCCAAUACAUUUAUUUCUUAAAAAUAACAUACACAAAUCAAGACAGUGUAAAACAUGUGAUGAGAUAUAUGUUGCCAUAACAUGAUAUUGAAAAUAAAAAUAGGUGUAAUUAAAAUAUGUGAUAGAAUACCUUCGGAGACAUCAAUUUCAAAGAGAAAAUUAGCAUGAUCCUCCUUACUUAUAAACAUGACACAUAAAUUAAGAGUAGUGUAAAAAUGCGAUAAGCUAUUCGUAGCUAUAUAAAACGUGACAUUAACGAUUAAAUAAAAUUAUAAGCUUAUAUUAUUUCAGCCUUGAAAAUAUAUUGUUUUCUUAAAAAAUAACUCAUGAAAAGAGUAUUUGCUAUUUUGAUAUCCAACAAAAAGAAGAAAUUUAAGAAAAAAGAAUUUUUUGAUAUUUUUCAAAAUAUCUUUCGAACUCAUCAUCUCAAAUAUGUUAUGAUAUUCUUAUAAUUAUAAGUUUAUAUUAUUUAUCAUAAAAUGAAAAAAUGUAUUAAUGAGUUUUCAAAUGUAAAAUGUGUUAAUUAUGUAUUUUCAAAUAAACAAAGAAAAAUAUAUAAAUAAAAUAGAAGAAUAACAUAAUUGACAUGAUUUUUUAGUAAUUAGCAUAAAUAAAAUGUAUCAAAUAUAAUUGAUCUACGUAAAUGAAAGCUUUGCUCUUUAAAAGUGAGAGUAUUACUAGUAUAUAUGGAUGAAAAAACAAAAGUCUUUCGUGUUAUUUCAUAAUACGGUAUUGUAUUACAUGACCCAAAAUGUGUGCAACGUCUAUGGCGAGAAACAAAUUAAAUUUAAAUAAGAACGUGUUGUAAAUGUAUUUAUAUUAUAGUGAAUGUCUAUUAAGAUCUACUUUGAUAUCUAUUAGGAUUUGAAGCAUUUGUCUUUUACUCAGACUAGGAGUAAAUUUCUCUUAUAAAUAGAGGGGUUUUGUUCAUUGUAUUUAUAAUCCGAUGAUCUCUUAUCCCUCAAGAGAAGAAAUAAGAACCACUCUCUCUAUUUUCUCUACUCUUCUUGUUUAUUCUUUCUUGUUUUAUUACACGUUAUCAGCAUGAUACUCUGCCAAAUAAGGUGAGAUUAUAAAUCUGAAGGAUUUCAAGGUUAGUAAUUCUUUAUAUUAUCUUUCUUUUGCUACUACUAAUAUAAUUAUUAUUGGAUUUGAGGAAAAAUAAUUGGUUUGGAACCAUUUAUAUUUUAGAUUUAUUCCUCAAGAACAAUAUUAUCAAAAUGGAUGAUAAUAUGUUGGGUUCAAGUCCCAUCAAUUUAUGCCUAAGACGCCUUUAUAUGGAUAAUACGUUGAGAUUGGAUCUCAAUGCAUGUAUUGAUGAUAUUGUGAUGGCUAAGGCAAAAUAAUGGGUGUUUGAUGAAAAGUUGUAAAAUUCGACCCAUUGAAUAUUCUUCAUUCCAUGAAGUGAAUGUGGUAGCAAUAUAUUAUAAGUCUAAAAUAUGACAAUCUACUUCAUUCUUGAGGUGUAUGUGGUAGUAGUGCAUAUUAUGUCUGAAAGAAGACAAGUGAUUGAAUGCACGAAUAUACGCGUGAAUGGACAAUAUGAUAAUGAUCAUAAAAAAUAAUGAUAUUUUUGCAUGUGUAUAAUGAUCAUAAGAUAUGUUAGAGAAAAAUUCUCUAGAUCAUAUGUAUGCCCCGAGUUGCUCCUGAAGUAGCAAUAUUUUGAAAGAGGUUCUAAGCUAUCAUAAUUUGAUACACUUAAGGCAUGAUUAUAUUCCAUUCCUGGGGAAUGAGAAGCUUAUUAAUGCAAACGUGCACUUGAUUGUGAUGGUAUCACAACUCACCUCCGAAAGAGGUUGAAUAAUUGAGAAAAGUUAUUUUGAAAUGAGAAGCUUAUUAAUGCAAACGUGCACUUGAUUGUGAUGGUAUCACAACUCACCUCCGAAAGAGGUUGAAUAAUUGAGUAAAGUUAUUUUGAAAUCUACUUCUAAAGUAGUAAGCCUGAAAUUUAUUCCUAUAAUAGUAAAUCUGAAAUUUACUAAAGAAAAAACACAUAUCAUGGUAAACUUAGAGUUUACUAGCAUAAAAGUUCAUAAGUUGACAUGAACGACUGCGACAUCUUAAAGAUGAGCAUAUUAAGUAUUAAACAUAUAUUGAAGAAUUCGAAAAUUCUUCAUGAACUUUAAUGUUGCUUGUUCUCAUGAUACGUUGGUUUGACCAACUAAUUUUGGGAUUGGAUCCCUCAAAAUCUGAAAAGAAUAAAAGGUGAAUAGGGGACCGUUCACCUAUCAUGUGAUAUGUUGAAAAGAUACAACAAUAAGAUGAUCACAUGUACAUUCAUUGUCAACCUGCAGUUUGACAUUCAUAAAGUUGCUUGCUCAACAAAAUUGAGUUAAGAACAUAAUUUUCAGAUUGUGUAAUCAAGAAAGUGAUGAUGAUGAUUUGGCAUUGAAUGACUUCGAUAAAUAGCUAAACCAUCGCUAAUGAGAACAAAGCUUCAUGUGUUGAUCUGAAAUAUGAUAUGUUACAUACAAUAACACUUGUAUGCAUUAGACCAAUAAAUUAUGAUUAUUUCUUUCCCUCAAUUGGUUCAAGGUCAUGAACCAACUAUUCCAUCUAAUAGUUUUGAUGUACGAUAUAAGAUUAAUGAAUGUACCAUGAUGCACAAAGAUGAAUCCAUCAAAGAAAAUGGAGGAUGUAUGCUAGCUUUCCUAACAUAAGGGGGAGAUUAUAAGCAGCUAUGAAGUAUGUUAGGAAUUAUCAUCAGAUUCUUAUUCAAAAGAUAAUUCAAGUCAAAUGCCGAACGCAUCUCAUAUUUAAGCUGCAAGUGCUCCUAUUUUAUGUCUCUAAAGGACAAAGUCUAUGCAUGCAUGAAGCGUGAUAGACCAAUCGGUUCCAAAUGAAAUAAUACUUGUAUAGAAUAAGGAACAAAUAAUCAUAAUAAGAAGGUAAUAUGCGCUNNNNNNNNNNNNNNNNNNNNNNNNNNNNNNNNNNNNNNNNNNNNNNNNNNNNNNNNNNNNNNNNNNNNNNNNNNNNNNNNNNNNNNNNNNNNNNNNNNNNNNNNNNNNNNNNNNNNNNNNNNNNNNNNNNNNNNNNNNNNNNNNNNNNNNNNNNNNNNNNNNNNNNNNNNNNNNNNNNNNNNNNNNNNNNNNNNNNNNNNNNNNNNNNNNNNNNNNNNNNNNNNNNNNNNNNNNNNNNNNNNNNNNNNNNNNNNNNNNNNNNNNNNNNNNNNNNNNNNNNNNNNNNNNNNNNNNNNNNNNNAAAUGUUGAAUAUUGUCACUUGACAAAACUUAUGUGAAAACUUUUAAGGAUUCAAACUGCUUGAAGCAUAUAAAAGUUUCUGGGAAACUUAUUUAUAAUCCUUAUAUUGUAUAAGCUUAUUGCUUGAACAUCAUUGGAACUCUUGGAGAGUUUUCAAAGCAAUAGAUUAUUUGUUGAAAUUUGAAAUAUAUCGAAUUGGAUUGGUUAUGAAGUACCAUAUUUUAGUGCAAUUGAUGAACUCAUGUACCUUACAAAUACUACAAGGCCUAUAGCCUUUUCAGUCAAUUUAUUAGCAAAUUAUAUUUUUGCUCCUACUAUGAAGCAUCAAAAUGGGAUAAAACACAUGAGCUUAUUUUAUUCUAAAGAUUACAGUCUCAAUCUUAUUGGUCAUGCAUAUGUUGGGUACUUAUCUGACCCGUAUAAAGCUCGGUCUCAAAUAGGCUAUGUGUUCAUAUGUGGUGGUACUUCCAUAACUUGGAGAUAUACAAAGCAGUCUAUCGUAGCCACUUCAUCGAAUUAUGUUGAGAUAAUAACUAUUCAUGAAGCAAGCCGAGAAUGUGUAUGGUUGAGGUCCAUAAUACAUCUCAUUCGAGAAAAAUGUGGUGUGAAAUAUAACAAUCUACCCAUAAUUUUAUACAGAGAUAAUUCAGCAUACAUAGCACAUCUUAAAAGAGAAUUCAUAAAUGAAGAUAGAACGAAACACAUUUUGCCAAAGCUUUACUACAUACAUGAGCUAUAAAAGAAUGAUGAUAUUAACGUGCAACAGAUUCGUUCAACUGACAAUAUGACAGAUUUAUUCACCAAAUCUUCUCCAAUUGCACCUUUCAAGAAGAUGCUGCACAAGAUCGAGAUGCAAAGGCCAAGAAUGUUCUCAUUAGGGGGAGUUAAUACGCGCUGUACUCUUUUUCUCUUAUGAGGUUUUGUCCCACUGAGUUUUCCUUGUAAGGUUUUUAAUGAGGCAGCCGAAAUGCGUAUUAUUAGAGAUGUGUACUCUUUUAUCUUCACUAGAUUUUUUUUUCUACUGGGUUUUUUCUAGUAAGGUUUUAACGAGGCACAUUAUAUACUAAUUAGACAUUCAAGGGGGAGUGUUAUAAAUGUAUUUACAUUAUAGUGAAUGUCUAUCAAGAUCUACUUUGAUAUCUAUUAGAAUUUAAAGCAUCUGUCUUUUACUCAGACUAGGAGUAAAUUUUUCCUAUAAAUAGAGGGGUUUUGUUCAUUGUAUUUACAAUCUACUGAUCUCUCAUCCCUCAAGAGAAGAAAUAAGAAUCACUCUCUCUAUUCUCUCUACUCUUCUUCUUUAUUCUUUCUUGUUUUAUAACAGAACAAUUUUUUUUUAAAAAGUUGUACUUAUACAUGUGAAAGGUACUUUCAAAAAUAUUAUAUAAAAUUAAUAUGACGAAUACAAAAUUAGCUAGCAUGUUCCUUGCUAAAAGAUAGUAUGCACAAAUUGAUACAUUCUAAAUCAUGCGAUGAGCAGCCACAAUCUUAUGUGAAAAAAAUGGGUCACAUAAUUCGUGGCCAUCCCACUAAAUUUAGUACUUGAUUAUUUGUAUAUAUAAUGACUUUCAUAUUAAUUUUCAGACUUUUGCGUGUUUUGAUAAUUUUUCCCUUCCUCAUAGUUGCUUUAUACCUUUCAAGAGUGGUGGGAAUGAUUUGCACGGUCUCGAUACAUCGAGAGUGAUUUGUAUGAAUUUGUGGUUUUGUAAUAAUCUUAAAGCAAUUAAUUUGACUUCGGUCAACAUAUUGUGAUCCAAGCUCCAGAUGGUGAUUGUGAGGUUCCAUUAAAUUCAGAAUAUCGAUUUUGGGUUAGGGCCAUGGUUAGUUCGGGCCCCGAGCUUUUAUUUUGCAUUUUGCCCUCUUAAGCAGAAACUAGUUAAAGUUAGCCAAAAAGGGAUCCUAGGAGCUAAUUCGUAGUAAAUAAUUAUUUUUAAAAAUCUGAUGGUUUCAUUGAGUUUGAAAUGUCAAAAUUAGCCUAAUAGCAUUAUUGAUUUAUUUUUGUGCGGUCCCGAAUGAAUUUCAAAAAUUUGAUUGGAUAGUUUUGACUUGUGUAUGUUGCUGGUUUUAGAUGCUUUCUGGUGCAAGUUUUUUCUUCUUCGCAUUCACGACCUUCUUUGUUGCAUUUUCCAAACACUAAUAUUCAUAUCUUCGUGUUCGCGGCCCCUGUGUCGUGUUUGCGAAGAAUGAAUAUCUCCUUUUCAGCUAUCACGACGGAUGAAAUCACGAUCGCAAAGAGUAAUUAGUGGGCUGACCUUUCAUUUUCUUCAUUACGCUCACGGUCAAAAUGCUUGUGUUUGCAAAGGUUCGGGUGAAACAAGCCUUGCAUUCACGACAGUGGGCCCGCAUUUGCAAAGGCCAAAUGACCCGUGAUCUUAGACAUAUUUAUACACCUAAGUGUCAUUAUCUAUGCAUAUUUAGCUUAGUUUUAAGGAUUUUUAGAUGUGCUUAAUGAGGUAUUAAGGGUGUAAUUAUGUAUUUAUGUGUUAAUUUACAUGUUUAGAGUGUUUAUGGUGCAUUUGAAAUAAGUUAGGAGUCAAAAUGAUCAAAUAAAGUUUAGACAAGAAAACUAGUGGUGCUAGCUUGAGCUAUGCUUAUUCUAGUGUACUUUGAUGAGCUCUAUUGUGCUGUAUGAACUAAUGAUUUGUUAUAUGAUGUUGAAAGAGACUGUUGGAGGUGUUAUGGAAUUUCAUUUAAUCCUAAAAACAAGUGAUACGAAGUGGGGAAACAAGGAUCAAACGUACAACAAAAUAGGAGCAAAAACGAGAGCGAAUCCUCACCCAUGAGAAGGGGCCUUGCGCCGCACCCCCAAGGCAUGGAUGGAACUUGUGCUGCACCCUAUAGGGAGAGGUCACACUACCUCACCAUGCUAUGAGUGUGCUCCGGACCCCCCAGGUCAUGUGAUUGGCCUGCAACGCAACCCCCACCCCCUACGUCUAAACAUUCAAAAGUUGAUUUUUUAUGUCUUUAAGUUAGAUGACAAUGUUGAAAAUACAUAGUUUCAUAUGAUGAAUCCUUAUGGACGACCUAAAUACUAUAUAAGGAGUAAUUAUCCACAGUUACACGAUACUUUUGGAACAACACAAUAUUAGAGAGAAGAGAAGGCAUCAAAGGGGCUCUACACUAGGGUUUUGCUUCUUUAUUUUAGUUCCCUUGUAGUUUUUACUAAUGGAUUCAGUUAUGAUGAUUCUUUAUAAGACUAUGAGUGCCUAAACAUCUUCAUUCUAGGGUUGAUGCUACAACAUGAUUGUGUAAGUAUGGUUUUAUAGUUGGUUUAUAUGGUUAUCAAGUUAUGUAAUUGUUCUUGUAUUUUUUUUUUACUAUUCUAAGGUGUCAUGAACUUUAGCAUAAAUUUAAAUCUCAAAACGAAUUGAUCAUAGGAGUGGAGAGACAGAAUGAAGAAUUUAAAAAGUGUGAAUCAUAUCUUUAAUUAUUAGAUACUAAUUGUUAAAGGAUGAUUUGCAGUUAGGAUAGGAAUAUACCUAAAAACCCCACUUGAUUAAUGAAAUGGGAAGAUAACUUAAUGCAUUCAAAUUAAAAACUCACAUACCCUGUCAAUGAUGUAGUUGUGAUAUUAGUUUCGGUAUGUGAAUUAUAUAAUGAGCAUUCCCAAGUUAUAAUAUCAAUUUCAUAGCUCAACAAUCACAACAAACACAAACAACGACUAUAAAUCAAAGUUAUGCGUGAAUGUGAAGUAAAUGCCUCAACUCUUGAAUUCACCAUAUAUUGUUUACAAUCCAAGUUUCAUAUCAUUGUUAUUUUGAUUAUUUAGGUUAUAAAUUCAAAACUCAAAGCUCUUGUUGGUUACAAAUUUCAUUUGUUAAACUUCAAUAGUAACGCUUAUGUUGGAUAGUUUGCUUAAAAAAGUCUCCAUGGGAUCGAUAACCCGCUCGAAAAAGUCAUUUUACUACUUAUUUGAUCAUAAUAAACUUGCGUGUGCACUUGUCAAUUGCUAGCGUCUUGAAAAUUAGAAACUUUUGAUUUGUUGUUUUGCUAUUCUAUUUUACAUGUGCUGGCAACUUGAUCUUAGAUACUGAGCUUGCAAUUACAAUUUUGAAUCUCUAGUAAGUUGGCAAGGGAAAAAGGUUUGGUUGAACCAUAUCCCAAAUCGGAUGGAUGCUUACACCAAUUGAGAAAAGAAGCAACAAUUCUCUAUCCCAUCAUGCAAGUUCAACUGGGUGAGCCAUUUCUGCAGUUGUGGGUGAUGGACAACCAAACCGCAGGACAACGCACGAUGUGGUAAUCCCACUCACAACUAAUGCUACCUCCAGCAUUUGGAAAGUUAAUCCUGGGGGUAGAUUUUAGCUGAAGUAAAACAUGGUGCAAUUGUUGCAUAAUAACGAGUAGUUCAUAGGCUGGUUACAUGAGGAUCCACAGGUCCACUUACAAAAUUUCUUAGAGAUCAGUGACACUUUCAUUUCUAUUGGAGUCUCCACAGAGUAGGCGAGGGUCACUCUCUUCCCCUUCUACUAUUGAAGGAGAUGAAGAAAUAGUUGAAUGAAGAACCUUCAAACUUAAUCAUAACUUGGGAUGACUUGUCAAAGAAGUUUCUCAUAUGAUUCUUUCCUUCUGGAAAAAUUGCUAGGUUGAGGAGUGAGAUUCUGACUUUCAAACAAAAGCCAGAUGAGAAUCUCUAUCAUGCAUGGGAGAGAUUCAACUCUCUUAUUAGGGAUUUUUUGCAUCACCAACAAACUAAUGAGGUAUUAGAACAUACUUUUGUUGAAGGUCUUGACUAUGACACAAAAAAUUCUGCUAGAUUUAGCUGCAGAUGGACAUACUUAGGAGAAAACUUAUGACGAGCUAGAUACUCUUCUGAAUUGAAUUGCAUAAGAUAAUCUUGAAUGUCAAGGUGAUAUAUACAAAAGAAUGGUAAAGAAUCCUAGAAGUAUAAUCAAGGUGGAGUGUCAUAACAUUGGCUGGUCAGUUGGCAUCUUUUCAGAACCAAAUGAUGAUGCAGUUCAGUAAAUUGAGUGUGAAUCAACCUCAAGCCCAAGUUAAAGCAAUCCAAAAAGGUCAGAAUUUGUGUGAAAUUUUUGGAGAUUGAGGUCACUCUGUAGACUUAUGUGGAGCAAAUCCAGAGUCAGUGAAUUUCAUAGGCAAUGCACAAAAGGGGAACCAAAUAUGGUAAUGCCUACAACCGCAAUUGACAGAGUCAUCCCAAUUACUCAUGGAGCAAUAAUCAGGCUCAACCUUAGCAGUUUUAGCAGCAACAGGGAAUUAAGAAUGGCAUUAAGGCUAGUAAUAUAGAAGAUACUUUGAAAAGAUCCUAACCAAUCAACAAAAAAUGGUUACGGAUAUUAAAACUCAAAAACUGGCUAAGAAAAAUUUGGAGAUACAGUUGGGACAUUUAGCUUAGGCAUAGAACACAAGACCUCAAAGGGUUUACCUAGUGUGAUACAAAAAAUCCAAAGUAAGUGAUGGUGAUCACCUUGAACAGUGGUCGCAACUCGAUUGGCAGACCUCCAAAGAAAAAUCAUAAAGGCGCAGGUAGAGUUGGUCCCACAGCAAGCUGAUGAGAAGCAAGUGGAAGCCAAAGAAGCUAAAAAUUUAGGGACGUUUGUAUACCUAAAAGAAGAGGCAGUUGAGCAAACACCAGAGAGGCUACCACCACCAUUCCCUCAGAAGCUAAAAAAGACUAAAGAGGAUGCUUAUUAUUAGAAGUUCUUUAACAUGUUCAGAGAACUUCACAUUAACCUUCCUUUGUUAGACAUUUUGUAGAAAAGGCCUAAGUAAGCUAAGUACUUAAGGGAUGUGGUGACGAAUAAGAGAAAGCUGGGUUACAUUGAGACAGUAGCACUUACUGGAGAGUGUAGUCUGUGGUGAUGAGAAAGAUUUCCAAAAAGCUCAAGGACCCUGGGAGCUUCACCCUUCCUAUACAAAUAGGUGAAAGUGAUAUGGUCUAUGCUUUGGGUGAUUUGGGGGGAAGCAUAAAUUUGAUGCCUUUAUAUGUGUUUAAUACUCUGAUUUUAGAAAAAUCAAGGCUGUAUUUAGUGGUGCUCCAAAUGGCUGACAAAACUGGAGUGGCCCCCAAAGAAAGCAUAUAGGAUAUUCUCAUCAAUAUUGGUAAUUUCAUUAUUCCUACUGACUUUAUUAUUAUUGAUUAUGAUAUAGAUGACAAAGUGCCAAUCAUAUUGAGAUAUUUAUUCUUAGAUACUAGAGGAGUACUGAUAGAUGUGAGAGAGGGCAUUCUUACAAUGAGAUUGAAUGAUGAAUAAGUGGUAUUUAGAGUGUACAAAGAACUCAAUACUUGUGCAUGAUCACCAUAUUUGAGAACUCUUUGUAAACUUUGAAGACCAACACAAUUGAGAGUGUACAAUUGAAUUACACAAGGUAAUCCUGAAUGCUUGGGUGAUGUAUUCCAAAUGAUGGUCUUCAGAGUGUACAAAGAGUUUUGAAUUAUGGUUAUCAUGCAUAAAUCUUUGUAGUGUGAGGGUGUAUUGAGUGCUUUUUACAUUGAAAAAGUGACCUCUUCAUCAUUCAAUCUCAUCGUAAGAGUGUCCUUUCUCAUAUCUAUUAGUACUUCUCUAGUAGCCAUAAAUAGACGUCCAAAUAUGAUUAAAACCUUAUCAUCUGCAUCAUAAUCAAGAAUAAUAAUGUUAUGAAUAAUAAUGAACUUAUUAGCCUUGAUGAGAACAUCCUCUAUGAUUCCUUCAGGGACAACUCUAGUUCUAUCCAUCAUUUGGAUCACCAUUGAACAUGGCCUUGAUUUUCCUAAUCCUAGAGUGUUAAACACAAAUAGGGGCAUCAAAUUUAUGCUUGGACCCAAAUCAUUCAAAUCAUAGACUUUAUAACUUUCACCAAUUUGUAUAAAGAGGGUGAAGCUCCCAGGGUCCUUGAGAUUUUUGGGUAUAUUUCUCAUAACCAUAAAACUGCACUCCUCAGUAAGUUCUACCAUCUCAAUGUCAUCUAACUUUGUCUUAUUAGUCAUCACAUCCUUCAAAUACUUAGCGUACUUAGGUGUUCCCUACAAAACAUCUAACAAAGGAAGGUUAAUGUGAAGUUCUCUAAACUUAUGGUGGUGAUCUCUCUAGUGUUUUCUCAACUUCCUUUGCUUUUGAGUACUCAGACUUUUCUAAAUUUUUAGCUUCUUUGGCUACCACUUUCUUCUCAGUAGCUUACUGUAGGACUAACUCUGCCUGUACCUCAUAAUUUUUUGUUGGAGGUUUGUCAAUCAGGUUGCUAUAACUUCUCAAGGUGAUUUCCAUCACUUGCUUUUAAUUUUCUACAUCACUAGGUAAACCCUCUAAGGUCUUGUGUUCUGUGCCUGAGCUAACUGCCCCAACUGUGUUUCCAAAUUUUUCUGAGCCAAUUUUUGAUUUUUAAUGUCUGCAGCCAUUUGUUCUUAGUUGGGUAGGACCUUUUUCAAAGUCUUUUCUAUAUUAAUUGCCCGAGUGCCAUUCUGAAUUCUCUGUUGCUAUUAGAACUGUUGAGGUUAAGCCUGAUGAUUUCCCUAUGAGUAAUUGAGAUAAAUUUUCCAAUUGUAGUAUAGGCAUUACCAUAAUUCCGAUUCCCCAUUUGUGCAUUGACAAUGAAACUCAUUGACUUCGGAUUUGCUCCACAUAAGUCAGAUUUCUCAUUUGUGCAUUGGCAAUAGAACUCAUUGACUCCAAAUUUGAUCCACAUAAGUCUGCAGAGUGACCACCAUCUCCACAAAUUUCACACAAAGUAUAACCUUGCUUGAUUACAAUAACUUGGUCUUGAGGUUGAUUCACUCUCAAUUUAUUGAACUGUAUCAUUAGUUAGUUCAAAAAUGUGGCAACUGACCAGUUAAUGAUGUGACACUAUCCAUCUUGAUUAUACUUGCAGGCUUCAUUACAACACUUCUAGAUAUAUCAGCCUGCCAUUCAGUGUUACCUUGUGAAUUUUAAUUCAGAAGAGUAUAUAGCUCAUCAUAAAUUUUCUCCAAUGUGAACCUGCAGCUGCAUCAAGCAGAAUUUUUAUGUUAUGGUCAAGGCUUUCAAUAAAAUUAUGACCUAAUACCUCAUUGGUUUAUUUGGUGAUGCGAACAAUCCCUAAGAAGAGGCUUGAAUGUCUUCCAUGCAUUAUAGAGAUUCUCAUAUGGCUUUUUUUUGAAACUCAUCAUCUCGUUACUCAACUUUGAAGUUUUGCCAAAAGGAAAGAAUUGGAUAAGAAACUUUUUUGGCAAAUUAUCCCAAGUUGUGAUUGAGAUUGAAGGUUCUGCCUUCAACUAUUUUUUUGCCUUCCCCAAUAGUAAGAAGUGAAAGAGAGUGAGCCUCAUAUAAUCUGUGGAGACUCCAACAAAAAUGAAAGUGUUACUAAUCUCCAAUAAAUUCUGUAAGUGUACUUAUGGAUCCUCAUGUCACAAGCUUGUGAACUGCCCCCUGCUGUGCAAUAAUUGUGCCAUGUUUUGCUUAAGCUUAAAUCCACCCUAGGCUUUUGUCUAUGAAUGCUGGAGGUAACAUUAGUUACGAGUGGGAAUGCCACCUCACACACUAUCCAGCAGGCUGGUUGUUCAUCACCCAUGACUAUAGGAAUGAAUUCGCCCUGUUGAAUUUGCAGGAUGGGAUAGAGAAGUGUUACUUAUCUCCUCAAUUGGUGUAAGUAUCUCUCCAUUUUAGAAUAUGGUUCAACUAAAUCCCUUUCCUUUUUCAGCUUACUAGAGAUUCAAAAAUGUACCUUCAAGUUCAAUAGCUAAGACCAAGUUGUAAAAACUUAUAAAAUAGAAUAACAAAACCACAGAUCAAAUGGUAGCUAAUUUUCAAGUCCUCGAAAAUGGUACCAAAAAGUAAUUGCACCCAAGAGCACAUGCAAGUGUACGUGUUAAAACGAGUAGUAAAUUUACUCUUGCAAGCCCGUGAUCAAUCUCACAGGGACUUGUUCUUUUAGCAAACUAUCUAUUAUAAGCGUAACUAUUAAAAUUUAACAAAUGUAAUUUGUAACCAAUAAGAGUUUUGAGUUUUAAAGUUAUAACCUAAAUAAUCAAAAUAAUAAUCAUAUGAAACUUGGAUUAUAAAUAAUAGAUGGAGAAUUUCAGGGUUGAGGCAUUUACUUCACAUUCAUGCAUAACUAUGAUUUAUAGAUACUAUUUGUGUUUAUCAUGAUUGUUGAGCUACAGGGUUGAUAUUAUAACUUGGAAUUGGUCAUGAUCUAAGUAAUAUACCCAAAUUAAUCUCACAACAACAUCUUUUAGCGGAAAUAUAAGUUUUUAAUUGAGAUGCAUUAAGCUAUCUUCCCAUUUCAUUAACCAAGUGGGGCAUUUUUGGUUUAUCCUCUUCCUAACCGCAAAUCAUCCUUUAACAAUUGGUAUCUAAAAAUUAAAGAUAUGAUCCACACUUACUAAAUUCUUCAUUCUAUCUCUCUGAUCUUAUGGUCAAUUUAUUUGAGACUUAGAUUUAUCUUAAAGUUCAUGGCGCUUUAGAAUAUUAUAACAAGAAUGUAAGAAUAAUUACAUGACUUGACAACCAUAUAAGCCAACUAUAAAAUCAUAAUUACACAAUCAUAUGGUAGCCUCAACCCUAUAAUGGAGGUUCUUAUCUAAUCCCUAUCUUACAAAGAAUAACCAUAAUUGAAUUCAUAGGUAAAAACCGCAAGAAAACUAAAGUAAAGAUGCAAAACCCUAGUGUAGAGCCCCUUUAAUGCCUUCUCUUUCCUCUAAUCUUAUGUUUUUCCAAAAGUGUUGUGCAAUGAUGAAAAUUACUCCUUAUAUAGUGUUUUAUAUCACUCAUAUUCUUCCCCAUAUGAAACAUAUGCAUUUAUAAUAUUUCCCCAAUCUUAAAGAAAUAGAAAAUCAACUUUUGAACGUCUGAAAAGGAGGGGAGGAAGGGGCGUUGCACCAUAGGCCAAUUGCAUAACCUACGGGGUGUAGAGAAUACCCAUAGAAUGGAUGAGGGAGUUUUCUAUAACCCUAUUAGGUUUGGUGUAAGUCCCAUUCCAUGCCUUGGGGGUACGACGUAAGGCCCCUCCUCAAGGGUAAAGAUUCACUCUCGUUUUGCUCCUAUCUUGUCGUACGUUUAAUCCUCAUUGAUCCACUUCUUGUGACUUGUGUUUAGGAUUAAGUUAUCUUCUAUAAAACCUCCAAUAGUCUUAUAAAAUAUCAUAUAACAAUCAUUAGUUCACAUAAUACAAUAGAGCUCAUCAAAGUACACUAGAACAAGCAUAGAUCAAGCUAGCACCACUAGUUUUUUUGUCUAAACUCUAUUUGAUCAUUUUGACUCUUAACUUGUUUCAAAUUCACCAAAAACAUUCUAAAUAUGUAAAUUAACAUAUAACACAUAAUUACACCUUAAUACAUCAUUAAGUACUAAAAUUCAAGAGGGGGUGAAUUGAAAUUUUUCUGUAAGUUGACUACUGACUCCUCACAGUCAACUUACCUGCAGAUCAGUGUACUUUAUAAACAAAUUAGAUUUAAAACAAUUAAAAAAGUAAAUAAUAUAACAUAAAGUAAUAACAGAAGGAUUUAUCCUUGUUCGGAACACCAAUGUGGUGCCUACUUCCAAUACCUUGGGUUCAAAUUUUCCUAGAUCGUUGAAUGUUAUGCUUGAGUAAAAUUAUAGGAAACAAAUUCUGAAGACUUAUUUUCUCUUCAGGUAUUGUGACACAGCAUCAUUUGAUGUUACAAAGUUGACUCGAUCUUACUCUUUAUAUAACAAUUGUAAACAAAAAGUUACAAAGCCUUGUGAGGCUAAAAUUGAGAUACUUUGAAUUCUUUACUUGAAGUUGAGUAAAAAGUCUCUGUCUUCAGUCUUCAUCUUUUAUAGUCUCAACUGCUACUCUUCAUAAGGAAACCCAAGAGGUUUCUUCUCAAUCAAGGAUGUAAAUUGAUUCCUUGAUUGAGGAAUGUAGCCGUAUGAUAUGUCCAUAUCAGAUAUAUCCAUAUACAACUUUGGACCAAGUCCCUAUCAGAUAUAUCCGUGAUCUAUUUUUCUUUUUAGUCUUAUAGAGAUUGAUGCCUUUCCAAAUAUGCUCGUGAUCUUCUCUUCCUUUUCUUGAUCUAAUUUAUUGAAUCUUAUCUUGAUUGAUUUGGUCUUCCAUGAUUAUAGGAUUAUGAUCCUUCUUCAAUUCCUAUGAUAUUUGAUUGAUCUGCUUGCCAUACUGUUUGAAUGCCGUGAUCUUCCAUAUCUUCGGGUGAGAUACUCUUAUAUCUUCCAAUAUCUUGAUUCAAUUUUCUGUGACAUUUGGAGUUGAGAUUCUCCUUCCAUUUGUUCUCAUUUGUGAUUGAAUUACUUGGAUACCAUGGAUGUCCUUCCAUUCCUAAUGUCCCUGAAUUCGACUUCCCUUAUCCUUCCAAUAUUAGCAGUCUUCAAUGUCCUGCAAAGAUACACUUGUUAGUUUGUCAUUAUUAAAAUAUAGAGGCUAACAAUCUCCCCCUUUUUAAUAAUGAAAACAAGAAUAAACAUCAGUUGACAUCCUUGUCUGACGGCUUGCUCCCCUAACUUGUACAAGUAUGUAAACAUUAAUUGACUUGCUCUUCUCUGCUCUUCUUGGCUGGUAGGCUACUAUGAUAUUCUUGCUUUCUCCUCCUUUAACAUAAUAAAAAAGAAACAACACGCAGGCAGUGUGCAGACAAGGAAGUUCACAUAUAUCCAAAAUAAAACUUAAAGAUCAUUAAUGCUAAGAAUACCAAGCCUAUAUAGAAAGGAAUAAAAUCUUUCCUCUAGCAGGGCUUUUGUAAAAAUAUCUGCUACUUAAUUUUCAGAGUCAAUGAAUUUUAAAGUAAAGUCAUGGUUCUCUACAUGAUCUCUAAUAAAUGAUACUUAAUAUCAAUAUGUUUAUCCCUAUAGUGAUGCACAGUAUACUUAGAUAAGCUAAUAGCACUAGUGUUAUCACACAUAAUAGGAACAAAUUCAAAAAAUAAGUCAAAGUCAAGAAGCUGACGCAUAAUCCAUAAGAUUUGAGUACCACAACUUCCGACAACUAUGUAUUCAGCUUUAGCGGUUAAAAGAGCAACGGAAGUUUACUUUUUGCUAUGCCAUGAGAUAAGAGCAUCACCAAUAAUUUGACAUAUUCCACUAGUUCUCUUUCUAUCAUUUUUGUCUCCUGCAAAAUAAAUAUCUGAAUAACUAAUUAAAUCAAAGUAUGAGGAGCAAGGAUACCAUAGUCCAAAGUCUUGAGUUCCUAUUAGAUAUCAAAUAACUCACUUGACUCCUUAGGAGUGGACUGGAAUCUAGCAUAUUUACACACACUGAACAUAAUAUCUGAUCGACUUAAAGUUAAGUAGAGUAGAGAUCCGCUCAUCCCUCGGUACAUUUUUUUAUCAACUUCUUUUCUAAACAAGUCUGAAUCAAUGCUUGUGGAUGAGCUCAUUGGUGUUCCACAGGCCUUUUCUUUUUCAAUACCAAAAUUUUUGAUGAGUUCUUUCGUGUACUUGUCUUGACUGAUGAAAGUGCCUUUGGAAUUUUGUUUGAUUUGUGAUCCUAGAAAGAACUUGAGCUCGCCCAUAAGACUUAUUUCGAAUUCUUCUUUCAUCAAAUUAGCAAAAUUCUUGCACAUAGAGAUGUUAGAACUACCAAAGAUGAUAUCAUCAAUGUAAAUUUGCAUAAUUAGGAGAUUUGAAUCAAGCUUUUGUAUGAAUAGGGUUGUGUUAAUUUUACCCCUUUGAAAAUUAUUAUUUAGUAAAAAAGUACUCUCUCUCAUACCAAGCUUUUAGAGCUUGUUUGAGACGUAGAGUGCUUUUGAUAAUUUAAAAAAAUGAUUUGGAUAUGAAUGAUCUUCAAAUCCAGGGGGUUGUUUUACAAAAACUUCCUUAUGAAUAAAUCCAUUUAAGAAAGCACCUUUUAGGUCCAUCUGAUAUAACUUAAAAUAUUUGAACACGACAAAAAAUGAUAAAAUUUGUAUUGACUCUAACCCUGCUAUGGGGGCAAAGGUCUCGUCAUAAUCAAUACCUUCCUGUUGGGAGUAGCCUUGAGCUACAAAUCUGGCUUUAUUUCUGAUAACUUUACCCUCUUCAUUUAAUUUAUUCCUGUAGACCCAUCUGGUUCCAAUUACUGAAUAGUUUCUAGUUCUUUCAACUAGAGUCCAGACUUGAUUUCAUUCAAAUUGAUCCAGUUCUUCCUUCAUAGCUUCAACCCAUGAUUUAUCGUUGAGAGCUUCAUCAGUUUUCUUUGGUUCAAUUUGGGACAUAAGGGCAACAUAUGCUUGUCUCCUCAAUGAUGCUCUGAGUUGCACUCUAUCUUCUAGAUUUCUGAUGAUGAGUUCAUUUGGAUGGAUAGAACCAUACUUCCAUUCUUUUGGAACACUCAGUUUCAUUGUUUAUGUUGUGGGAGUCGACUCUGUUGGGGGUAUAGUCGACUUAUCUUGUGGAGGUUCUGAGGUUGUGUUAAGAUUUUUUCUAGUUUAUAGAUUACUCACCCAUUCUUCAUCAGUAUUUAAACUCAUAGAGAGAUGAUUAGCUUCAUCAAAAAAAAUAUGCAUAGAUUCCUCAACACACAAGGUUCUUUUAUUAAAAUCUCUUGAAGCAUGACUAGUGGGAGAGUACCCAAGGAAGAUACCUUUGUCACUUUAUGGAUCGAAUUUUCCUAAGGUAUUCUUACCAUUGUUGUGAAUAAAAUAUUAUCAGCCAAAGGGAUGGAAAUAGCCAAUGUUGGGCUUCUUUCCCCUCCAGAGUACAUAAGGCAUUUUCUUUAGAAUAAGUUUGAUCAGGCCCCUAUUGAUGAUGUGACAUGCUGUACUAACUGCUUCUUCCCAAAAGUGAUCUGGGAGAUUAUGUUCCAACAACAUUGUCCUGGCAAUUUCCUGGAGGGACCAAUUUUUUUGCUCCACUGCAUCAUUUUGUUAAGGAGACCGCAGUGAAGAGAAGUUCUAAAAGUAUACAUUUUGAGCACAAUACUCCUCAAAUGCCUUAUUUUUAAAUUCUCCUCCAUGAUCACUGUGGACAUAUGUGAUGAGGUGUCCAGCUUCUCUCUGUACCUUUCUACAAAAAAAUCUCAAAAUUUGUGAAAGCCUCAUGUUUAUGUGCAAGAAACAUUACCCAAGUAAAUCGUGAGUAAUCAUCCACUAUGACAAAAAUAUAUCUCUUUCCACAAAUGCUUGCGGUCUUGGUGGGACCAAACAUAUCCAUGUGGAUUAUUUAAAGAGGUUUGGUAGUAGAGACUAUGUCUUUGACUUUAAAAGAUGUUUGAGUCUGUUUACCCAAUUGGCAGGCAUCACAGAUAUGAUGCUUUUCAAAGUUGAGUUUUGGAAAACCUUUCACCAAAUCAAAUCUAGACAAUUUCUCAAUGAUAUGCAUGCUAGCAUGCCUAAGAUGUUGUGCCACAACCAAGUUCAUUGGUUUGUACAGUGAGACAGGUUAAGGUAGCAAAAUCAGGACUAUUUAAGACGUAAAUGUUAUCAACAUAUUCACUGAUAAGAGAGAUGUUUCUUUUUUUGUGCUUGAUUGAUCAAUUUUUGGCCUUGAAGAGUACUUCAAAUCCGGUAUCACAGAGCUGACUGAUGCUGAGCAGAUUGUGUUUGAGGCUGUCUACCAGAUUUACUUUUGUGAAUUCACAUGAUGAUUUGAGUUUUACUGGGCUAACUCUGAUGGCAUUGCCUAUAGCACUGUCACCAAACGUUAUCGAUCCCUCAUCUAUUUUAUCUAGAGCAAAAAAUUUUUAUUUCUUUCUGGUCAUGUAUUUGGAACAUCCACUAUCAAUGACCCACAUUUCAUUCUUAUAGCUCUUGCGAAUCUGUUCUUGCAACACAAAAAGUUCAGUUUUGUUUAGGUACCCAAGUGGUCAUGGGUCCUUGGGGGUUAGAUGUGCUUCCUUUGGACCUCUAAACCCAUACAAUUUUAGGUUUAUGCUUGGAGUUGUAUGAUUUGUGCCCUCUCUUUCCACAUAUAAAACAUAUAUGUCCUUGAGAAGAAAAGGUGAUCUUAGCAGAUUUAAAUAAUUUCGAUGAGGAGCUAGAUUUGUUUUGAAAAGAGUUAGAUUUUGCAAAACUGUGACUGGGAGAUUUAUUAAUACUUUUUAGCUUUAUUUUUAUAUCAUUAAUCUUUUCAUGAAGCAGAUUAGUUUUAAUUUGACAUGCUUUGAUUUCUAUUUGAUGACCUCUCUGUUUCUCCUCAAGUUUUCAUUUAAAUUGGGCUUCACAACUUUUCUUUUCUUAAGGAAGUUUGUUAUAUUCAUUUAUGACCUUUUGAAGUUCGUUGGUUAUCAAAUUUAAGUUAGAUUCAAGAAUAUUACAGUUGUGACAAUCAUGUGUUCUUACCUCGAUGGAUUCACCAGUUGCUAUAAAGCAUAUAUUGGUGGCUCUACUUCUUCUUCAGUUUCAUCUUCAUCACUCCAGGUUCCAAAGUUCUAAUUUUUUCUGGACGAUCUUCUCCUUAAUCCGAGAUAGUUUUGUUUAAAGUGACUAGAUCUUCAACAAUAAUAAAAACGAUCAUCGGUUCUGGUGGAAUUAUUAUUCUUGGCUCUUUAGGAUCUCUACUGUCUCUGUCUCAUGAUUUGACUUACCCACGAUUUAUGAGAGCCAUUCCUUCACUAUUGCCAUCUUCAAGAAUGUCCACUUCUUCGGUUAGAGCAACAUUGAAUGCUACUAGUUUCUUUUUCUCUUUCUUGUGGUACCUGUUAAUAUAAUUUUUCUCAUAUGCAAUAAGGUUACCUCGUAGUUUAUUGUAUGUUAUGUUGUGAAGAUCUCCAUCUUCCAGAAUGCGAGCCUUUAUUUCCCAAAUCUUUGGGAGACUUCAGACCAGCUUCUGGACUUGUAGACUCUGUGGAUAGAUCAUCCCUGGUUAUUUAAGUUCGCAUAAGAUCUUGCUGAAUUUGGCAAACAUUGCUUCAAUGUCCUCAUUCUCUUCCAUUUUGAAUAGCUCAUAUUCAUUGACCAGGGUAACAAUUUUUGACUUCUUGACUUUGGUGGUUACCUCAUAGGUUACCUCCAAUUUGUCCCACAUUUCUUUUGCUGUUUUACAAGUUGAUAUCUUCUUGUAUUUUUCUCCACUAACUGCAUACAAAAGUAAACUUAUAACACAUGCAUUAGUUUGGAUUACCUCUUGUUGUUCUUUCGUGAACUCAAAGUGAUACAACCCUAAAAGGCCUAUGUCGUAUGGGCACCUCAAGCCCACAUAAACCGGAGGUUGCCCGAUAACCCAUCAUAAUCAUCACAUCAAACACAAGGGCCAGGUAACUCCCGACCACAUAAUAAGAUGACAAAAAUAAUACUAGAAGUCGUAAUUUAAACAAGUCUAAACAUUUCAUUAGAUUCAUCAAUAUAACCAUUACACCCAAGUCCACAGUUAUCCACAAUACCUCUAUGAAAACCAAUGUUUAUAAAUAGAUAUGUUGGUACAAGCCACUGACAAUAGACAAACCAAGUCAAUGAGACAAAGUCUAAGGAUAGGGGGACCAAGAAUGGAUGUCUUCCAAAAUAAUAAAGCUCACCACUCUGAGGUCAAUGUACGAACCGCUUCGAUCACCUAAUCACUAUGCAAGAAGAGAAGAUGAUGCUCCGCCCCCUAUGUCACAUGGGACAUAGCAUCCAAAGAUAGGUAGCGGUUGGAACGCUAGCAUGGAACUCAAGUAUAAGGAUAUAAUAGCAUUAACAUUUAACAACAAGUCAAUAUACCAUAUUCAAUCAUAUUCAUACAUGUAUCCUUACAUAUGGGUAUGUCACAUGCUAAUCAAGAAAUCAAGGCUUAACAAUAUUAUAGAACAUUCAUUCAUUAGACAUGAAGUGGAGGAUUCCAUUUAGGUAUAGGACUUUAACUCCAAUCACAUACCAUUAGAUGUUCACACAUUCUUUAGCCAAGGACUUUAACCACAUACACAAUCAUUCAAACAAGGGACUCUAACCACACAUAUUCAUCUAGGAAAGGGACUCCAACCUCAUGCCCAUUCAUUAGAAAAGGGACUCUAACCUCAUGCCAAGGGACUCUAGCCGCAAGCUGUUUCAUUCAAUGAGGUGCAUUAACCUCAAGAGAUUUCUUUAAGUAAGGGACUUUAAACUCGAGCAAUUUCAUUAGGCAAGGGACUCCAACCUCAAGCCAUUCCAUAAGGCAAGGGAGUUCAACCUCAAGCCAUUCUAUAAGGCAAGGGACUUCAACCUCAAGCCAUCACAACUAUCAAUAGUUGACAUUGGGACUUUAACCCUUUGCCCAUGCAUCAACAUUCAUUCCAUACAACACUUAAGGACUUUAACUAUUUAACUAAUUCAACACUAUACAUGACCCCAUGGUCCUUAUGGGAGCCUUCAUUGCUCAACCAUUUCAAUAGACCAUUGCCUUCAUUCAAUCCAUCAUACAAUAAAAGUUAUGGUCAUAAAGAUCCUCUCAACUAUUCAUAUUUAAUUAACCAUCUUAUACCACAUUCUCACCACACUUGGUUCAACACACAAUUCAAAUACAUUAUCAUGUUUAGGGACUUCAACCCCUUAUUAGUCAAUUAACCCAACAUAGUCAUAAAUUAUACAAUACAUAGCUCACAAUACUUUUAACAUGCCAUUUAUCAAUUAUUCAUGCUUAUUGGGCUAUUGCGCUAGUUCAAAGCAUCACCAAUAUGUGACUAGACAAUUCACUUAGAUAUUUCCACAAAUACCUUAUGUGCCUACCUUUAACAAGGCUAUUUUCACGGUAAAAAUCAUUAAGGUUAGGGUUACUCAAGACCCUCAUGUUAAAACUCACACAACAAGCACCUACAUAUGCAAAUCAUCAUCAUUAACAUGUAUAAACAUAAGUGUAAACAAGAGUAACAUUAUUCAUCAUCAGGCAACAAAACCCUUUUCAUUUGAUUUCAAAAUCUCCAUGUACACUUACUAAUCCAAGUGUAAAAUACAUGGGCUUAGAGUUAUUUAACAAAGGGUAAUAGGUACAUGCCUUAAACAAGGUGAUUCAUCAAGAAACUUGACUUCACUUUGCCUCUAGAAGAUCACCCUUGAAACCCCUAGUCUCCAAUUCUUCAAAGAUGAGUUUGAGAGUCUAUUUUGGGUGUUUGAUCCCUAAAAAAUGUGUUUAAGGAGGCCUUAUACACUUACAUAGUGAAGGGACGUAGGGUUUAAGGCAUGGGAAAUUACCACAAGGACCUUAGUUAAAAGAUGUAAAGUAAACCCGUGUAGGGGUAUGACUCAUCUUAUGAACUGUACCCUAGGGUAUAAGUGGUACCUUGACUCGUACCCUAGGCUUCUACUAGGUCACCUACACAAUUAAGGAUAUGGUCACACACCCUUGAGACAUAUCCAAAGGGUACAACUAUAUCCCUACGUUAUAAACACCCCCCAUACCUAAACUAGUCCACAUAAGCUAGGACUUCCCUCUAUACGAUCAUAUUGGGUACGAAUCAUAUACUUAGGGUAUGAUUGAGGAGGGCUGUCACUCCUACCUAGGACAAUGAGUAACCCUCACCACACUACCUAGGACACGAGAGGGGAGGGGAAGAAGGAUACGACUUAUAUCUAAGGGGUAUGACUCAUGCCCCUAGUUGUACCCACCCCAGUGUCAUUAAAUAGAGAGUUCUUUCAAUGGUUUAAAGUCUAAGUGUUUCAGUUCUCACCCACUUGGAUCAUUGGUCCACGAAUGACGGAUAGGGCAAGCAAAAAACAUAAGUUAACACAUUAUGAUAUAUAAAAAACAAGUUAGAACAAACAUACAACAAGGAUAUAACACACAUCAUGCUCAUUAUCAAUCAAUCAUUCACUUUAUCGUCUUUGGGACUCAAACCCAUUAUUUAUAAAGACACUUGUUCAUUGCAAAGCAUAGGGACUUAAACCCUUACUUAUCAACAUUUUACUCAUCUCACAACUUAGGGACUUCAACCCAUUGACUUAUCAAGGAUACUUGCUCAAUUCAAGGAUUAGGGACUUGAACCCUUCAUUUACCAAAGACAUAAAUCAACUCAAGAUACUAGGGACUUAAACCCAUCACAAAAAGGACACAUAUAGCUUCAAAGCAUUAGGAACUUGAAUCCAUGGUCUAACAAGACACAAAUCAACUUAACACAUUGGGUACUUUAACCCAUUAUCUAUCAAAGACAUACAUCAAAGCAAGGAUAUCAACACAUACUUCCAUCCUAUGUUUUCAGAAUAGGAAACAAAUAUGGAUACUUGGACUUCAUAUCCUCUUCCACUUCCCACGUAGCUUUCUCGGACUUUUGUUUUCUCCAUAGAACCUUCACCGAAGCCACAUCUUUUAUUUAUAACCAAUGAACUUGCCAAUCUAAGAUCCUCACUGGGAUAUCCUCAUAGGACCAAGAGUCUGAGAUAUCAACAUACCUCAAGGGAAUAACCAACGAUGGAUCACACACACAUUUCUGCAACAUAGAGACAUGGAAAAUCGGGUGAAUGAAGUUCAUACUGGAAGGAAACUCCAAAUCAUAGGCAACAUUGCCAACCCUUUUUACAAUCAAGUAAGGACCAACAUACUGGGGACUAAGCUUUCCCUUCUUACCAAAUCACACUCCCUUCAUGGGAGACACUUUCAAGAAUAUCCAAUCGCCAACACUAAACUCUAAGCCCCUACGCCUCACAUCUGCAUAGGAAUUUUGGCGACUUUGAGUAGUUUUCAAACUAUCACGAAUCAGCUUCAUCUUUUCUAAGGCUUGGUGAACUAAAUCGGAGCCAAGCAUCUUACCCUCACCAACUUCGUACCACCCAAUAAGAGAUCGACAUCUCUUACCAUACAAUGCCUUAAAAGGGACCAUUCCAAUACCAGAGUGGUAAUUAUUAUUAUAGGUGAACUCAAUCAAAGAAAAGUGGUCAUACGAACUACCACCAUAAUAAAUCACACAAGCCCUCAACAUACUCCCCAAUAUUUGGAUGGUCCUUUCCACUUUCCUAUACAUUUGGAAGUGGAAAGCGGUACUAAGGCAUACUCUAGUACCCAAACCCUUUUGGAAUGACUUUCAAAUAUGGGAUGAAAAUGGAGGACUACAAUUCGAGAUAAUAAAAGUUGUAGCACCUUGCAACUUCAUGAUCUCCACAAGAUACAACUUAGCAUAAUCUUCCACCGAGUAAUUUUUCCUUACGGUAAAAAGUGAGCGGACUUGGUCAUUUUAUCAAUAAUGACCCAAAUAGAAUCAAAUUGAUUCUGAGAUUUAGGAAUACCGGUAACAAAAUCAAUACUAAUUGCCUCCCACUUCCAUUUGGGAAACACAAUUUCUUGGUACAACCACUGGGCCUCAUAUGCUCAGCUUUCACUUGUGACACACCAUACACUUGAACACAUAGCUAGCCACAUCACGUUUCAUAUUUCUCUACCAAUAGAACUCUCUAAGGUCAUGAAACAUCUUUAUGGAAUCGAGAUGUAUAGCAUACCGAGAUUCAUGAGCCUUGACCAUCACCCUUUUCCUCAAUCCAUCGACGUCAGGAACACAUAAUCUAUCUCGGUAUCUCAAGAUACCAUUACCACCAAUCACAAAGUCCGCAACUUUGUGUUGACCCACAUUAUUCUUGAUCUUCAUCAAGUUCGGGUCCAAAACUUGCUUUUCUUUUAUCUCAACAACAAGAUACGACUGAGAUACCAAAAGAACAAAUACACAACCAUCCCCAAAGUCUGCAAGUUGAACUCCAAGAUUAGCCAAACAGUGAAUAUCCUUCACCAAUUCCUACUUAUCCUUAUCUACAUGGGCCAAAAUUCUCAUAGACAAUCUACUAAGAGCAUUGACGACUACAUUUGCCUUAUUGGGAUGGUAAUGAAGACUCAUAUCAUAGUCUUUUAAUAACUCGAGCUACUUUCUUUGCCAGAGAUUUAACUUCUUUUGGGUAAACACAUAUUAGAGACUCUUAUGAUCUGUAAAGAUAUCGACAUGAACCCCAUAAAAAUAAUGCAUCCAAAUUUUUAACGCAAAAAUCAUGGCUAAAAACUCUUGAACAUGAGUAGGGUAGUUCUUAUCAUGAACUUUUAAUUGCCUAGAAGCAUAGGCUACUACCCUACCAUGUUGCAUCAACACCCAACCAAAACCGACACGAGAAGCAUCAUAAUAUACCACAAAACCAUCACUACCCUUGGGUAAGUUUAAUAUCAGAGCCAAAGUUAUCUUAUCUUUUAACUUCUCAAAACUACCCUCACACGCAUCGGACCACAAGAACUUGACCUUCUUUUGGGUCAACUUGGUCAAUGGCACAACUAUAGUAGAGAAACUCUCCAUAAAUCUUCUAUAGUAACCAGCUAGACCCAAAAAGCUUCAAAUAUCAAUUAUAGUCGUAGGUAUAAGACACUUCUUAACUGCCACGACCUUUUGGGGAUCUACCAUGAUCUCAUCACUAGUGAUAAAAUGACCAAGAAAAGCUACAACUUUCAACCAAAACUCAUACUUAGAGAACUUGGCAUAAAAAUGAUGAUCCUUCAAAGUUUGCAACAUGGCACGGAGGUGAUCUACAUGAUCCACCUCACUCUUAGAAUAGACUAAGAUAUCGUUAAUGAAGACAAUGACAAAUAUGUCUAACAACGGAUUGAAUACCCUAUUCAUCAAGUCCAUGUAUACCGCCGGGGCACUGUACAACCCAAAAGACAUGACAAGAAACUCAUAGUGACCAUACCUGGUUUUAAAGAUAGUCUUAGGGAUAUCCACAUCCCUUAUCUUAAGCUGAUGAUAAACCGAUCUAAGACCAAUCUUAGAGAAACACUUCACACCCUAAAGUUGACCAAACAAAUCAUCGAUCCUAGAAAGAGGAUAUUUAUUCUUUAUGGUCACUUUGUUCAACUGACGAUAAUCAAUGCACAUACAAAAAUAACCAUCCUUUUUGCACACAAAUAACAUGGGAGUAUCCUAUAGGGACACACUAGAGUGGAUAAAACCUUUAUCUAAGAGGUCUUUCAAUUGAUACUUAAGCUCUUUCAACUCCACUGAAGCCAUUCUAUAAGGAGGGAUAAAAAUUAAAUGAAUGUCCGAAACAAGAUUAAUCGCAAAAUCAAUUUCCUUAUCGGGAUAAACAAAGAGAAAAUCAUUGGAAAAUACCUCGAGAAACUCAUUAACCAUUGGUACAAAUUCUAGAGAAGGAUCUUUUGAGUUAGAAUCUUUAACUCGGACCAAGUGAUACAAAUACCCCUUUGAAAUCAACUUUUGGGACUUUAGAUGAGAAAUGAACAUUUCAUUAGGCACUAGGGAACCACAUUCCCAUACAAUGAUUGACUCAUUAAGGAAUCAAAACAUGACCCUACGAGUCCGACAAUCAAAGAAAGCAUACCAAGAGUGCAACCAAUCCAUCCCCAGAAUGAUAUCAAAAUUAACUAUAUCAAACUCUAUUAAGUAUACACGAGUAUCUCUACCACCAACUGAUAUCACACACCCCUUAUAGACUGUUCUAAUAAUCACAGGUUCUCCAACUGGGGUAGAAACUAAAAGAGGGAUAGAUAGACUCUCAGGACCACAAUCAAGAUGUUCAACCAUAUAUGGGGUUACAUAAGAAAGAGUAGACCCUGGAUCAAGAAAAAAUACACAUCAUGGGAGAAAAGUAUCAAUAUACCUAUGAAAACAUCAAGAGAUGCCUCAGAAUCCUGGCAGCAAGGGUACACAAGCGCUUUUAGCCAGCGCCAGUGACAAAAAUAAAAGCAGAGGUAGACAUAACACCCAUCUGUGCAGGAGUAGAUGGAGUAGCAAUAGGAGCCCUAUUGGCUAAGAAGCUGCUAGAGGGGGGCACUUACGCUGUAUGUGCCUAAUCUAACCAUAAUUGAAACAUCUAUUCCUUUCCUUCUCAUACUAAUCUCAAUGUCUCUGACUAUAAAAUCUGUAAGGAGGGUAGGAUAGAGCUGACUAGGCACCACUAGCCUGGAAUUGGGCACCUUGUUCCCAAGACCCAUCACUAAACUGAGACCAAUGAUCACUUAAAAACUUCUAGUAAGGAGAGCGCACAUUAUCCGAGGAGAAAAAACUCGAACUUCCUCACUUCUUUUGUGGCCACUUGCCACUAUCACCACCACUAUGCUCAGAAGGCCUAAAUUUCUUUCCUUGCCUCUCACUAAGCUCAACUUGCUUCCUUUUCUAUUCUUCUAUUUGUUGUAUAUACACAAUCAAUCUAGAAAUAUUUAUGUUCUCAAUCAACAAAGCCGACUUGCUCUCAAGGACUAACUUACGGGACAAUCUUGAGACAAACUUAUGCAUUCUAUCCCUUAUGAUAGAGACCAUUUCAAGAGCAUACCUUGACAAUUAAUGUAAUUUCAAGGCAUACUCUUGAACGAACAUCCUCCCUUGCUCCAAGUUCACAAACUCUUCUACCUUUGCCUUUCUUAACUCUAGAGAAAAGAAGCAGUCUAACAAAGCCUUGGAGAAAUCCUCCCACUUGGUGGGACUAGCAUCAACACCUCUAGAUAACUCCUUCAUCCCAUUGGUACGCUACAUCCUUCAAUUGGUAGGAAGGAAACUCAAUGAACUCAAUCUCUGAAGUAUGCAUGAUUCGAAAGAUCCUCUCCAUUUCAUUAAUGAAUCCUUGAGAAUCUUCCUCAACCUUUAUACUGGAGAACAUAGGAGGGCUCAACCUUAUAAAUUGGCUAAUUCUUAGGGCCUCAAAAGAAAUAGUAGCUAGAGCACCACACUCCGAUUAAGAGGCUAUUAAUUGAGUCAAGAGGUUGAUAGAGCGAUGAAACACGACAUUAGUAGCAUCUCUUUAAGGUGAUGGAAUAGGAGGGUCACUCUCAUAGUCGGGGUUGGUAGGGACAUGUGGAAACCUAUAAAGAUGGUUAGAUACCACAGCCCUAGCCCGAGUCCUAACUCUAGAAGUAGGAUGAGCUUUAUCUAUAGGGCCCUCAGAAGGGUUUGGCUAAGUCUCAGAUCUCCUUGGAGCCAUGAUCUGAAAGAUAGCAAAUAGAAAUCAGAGGAAUUUAAGACCUUAGACUCUAUAGCUUGAGAUUGAAACACAAGAAAAGAAAGCAUUUCUUAAAAUGCCUUAUAGCCCCUCUUUUAUAAGUAUGGCAUGCUUCACACCCAUAAAAGAGAUUUUACUUGACACGGUAUUGUGGACACCCAACUAAACAUAAACCUAGGCUCUGAUACCAAUUUGACACGAUCCAAAAUAGGGCCAUAUCAUAUAGGCACCUCAAGCCCAUAUGAAUUGGAGGUCCCCUGAUUACCCAUUAUAAUCAUCACAUUAAACACAAGGGUUGGGUAAAUCUCGACUGCAUAAUAAGAUAGCCAAAAUAAUACUAGAAGUCAUAAUUUAAACAUGUCUAAACACUUCAUUAGAUUCAUCAAUCUAACCAUUACACCCAAUUCCACAGUCAUCCACAGUACCUCUAUACAAACCGAUGUUUAGAAAUAUGUAUAUCAGGAUAAGCCCCCACCAAUAGCCAAACCAAGUCAAAAUGAAACUAGGUCUAAGAAUAGGGGACCAAAAUAGAUGUCUUCCGAAAUAAGGAAGCUCAUCACUUUGAGGUCAAUGUACGAACUGCUUUGAUCACCUAAUCACUGUGCAGGAAGAGAAGAUGAUGACUUGGCCCCUAUUUUGCAUGGGUACAUAACGUUUGAAGAUGGUUAACAGUUGGAACACUAGCAUGUAACUCAAAGAUAAUGAUAUAAUAGCAUUAAUAUUUAUCAAGAAGUCAAUAUAUCAUAUUCAAUCAUAUUCAUUCACUUAUCCUUACAUAUAGGUAUAUCAUAUACUAAUCAAGAAAUCAAGGCUUAACAAUAUUCUAGAGCAUUCAUUUAUUAGACAUGAAGUGGAGGACUCUAACCGUCCAUACUUAAACUCAACAAUUCUAUUUAGGCACAGGACUUUAAUCCCAAUCACAUACCAUUAGACAAAGGACUUUAACCAUGCUCAUAUGUUUAUUAUCUAAGGAAUUUAACCACAUACACAAUCAUUCAAACAAAGGACUCUAACGGCACACAUUCAUCUAGGCAAGGGAAUCCAACCUCAUGCUCAUUUAUUUGACAAAAGACUCUAACCUCAUGCCAAGGGACUCUAACUGUAAGCCAUUUUAUUCAACAAGGUACAUUAACCUCAAGAGAUCUCUUUAAGCAAGAGACUUUAACCUCGAGUAAUUUCAUUGGGAAAGGGACUCCAAUCUCAAGCCAUUCCAUAAGGCAAGAGACUCCAACCUAAAUCUAUUUCAUAAGGCAAGGUACUUCAACCUCAAGCAGUCAGUACUAUCGAUAGUUGAUAUUGGGAGUUUUACCCUUUGCCUAUGCAUCGAGAUUCAUUCCAUACAACACUUAAGGACUUUAACCAUUUAACUAAUUCAAUACUAAACAUGACCACAUGGUCCUUAAGGGAGCCUUCAUUGCUCAACCAUUUUAAUAGGCCAUUGCUUUCAUUUACUCCAUCAGACAAUUUAAGUUAUGGUCAUCAAGAUCCUCACAGCUGUUCAUAUUUCAUUAACUAUCUUAUACCAUAUUCUCCCAACACUUGAUUCAAUACACAAUUCAAAUACAUUAUCAUGCUUAGGAACUUCAACCCCUUAUUAGUCAAUUAAGCCAACAUGGUAAAAAAAUAUACAAUACAUAACUCAAAAUACUUUUAACCUACCAUUUAUCAAUUAUUCAUGCUUAUAGGGACACUUUCCUAGUUUAAAAUAUCACCAAUAUGUGACUAAAUAAUUCACUUAGACAUUUCCACAAACUCCUUAUGUGCAAACCUUUAACAAGGCUAUUUUUAUGCUAGAAAUCUUCAAGGUUAGGGUUACUUAAGACUGUAAGAUCCCGUAAGAUCCUAGCUCAUUUUGGCUCACUCUUGCAUGCUAAAGGGGUCCAAGACUUAGAAAAUUUUACUGUGUUCAGACUUAGUCUUUUCCAAAGCCUUUUAAACUUUGAUGAUUUUAAUUCUGACCUUCCCAGCCUUAGAACAUUGACUUUUAUGGUAAUUCAUGAUCGGGGUAGUCGAUAAUAUGUCUCAAGUAAGUUUCAAAUUUUUUGAACGAGGUUUGAGGCUUGUUUGGAUGUUCAAACUAGAGAGUCAACGCGAUAUAGCCAUGGCACACUGCUUAUCACAUUGGGGGGAUGCAACGCAGUGCGUCACCUAACGUAUUGACUGAGCAACGGGAUGCAUUACUUACCGCGUCACUGGCCAUAAUUAGUUUAAUUAAUUUCGGGUAUGCGGGGGUAUUUGAGUCAUUUUUCCCUUACUUUGCCUCACCCAUAACAUAAGAUUAAGGUCCGAAAAGGGCAAAAUCAUUCAUUUUUGCACAAACUCUCUCAAGAACAAAACCCUAGCUUCUUCAAAUCCAAGUUCAAGCUUUAAGAAAAUUACCAAGAACUCCCAAAAAUUCAUCAGUUAAGGUAUGUUAGAUGUUCUUCAUGGAUCCUUUUCACCCAUGGAGUCCAAGAAUCCGCUUUAAAGUUUAAAAUCAUGACCUGUAUAUGUUUUCAUGAAUUUUAUCCAAGAACUUCCACGAAUUUAAAUUUUUAUAUCAUCUUUACAUGUAUUUUUAUUGGAAUUAGCCUUUGAUCCAUUUGAAGGAUGAUAUUUGUAUGUUAAAUCCUUAACCAUGAUUUUAAUAUUGAAAUUAUAUUAUUAUGCCAUAAUUUAACUAUUCCCAUGCUUUAACUCAUGACCCCUAUGUGUUUGAUGAAAUGCCUAGAUAAAUUGGUUUUGAACAAUGACUACUUAUGAUGUCCUCAAAGUUGUAUUAUGGUUCUAUUAUUAUUGCUAUCGAGCUGUGGGGGUUAUGAAUACCCAUAAACUUAGUUGUUUACUUAGUCUCAGUAUCUUUAGAAUGGUUUUAGAUAUGUUAUAAGCAUUAUCAGUUUAGUUAGUUAUCUUAAUCAGUUAAACUUAGAUCAGUUCAGCAUUCCGAGUCAGUUUAGUUAGGAGUAGGAUUUAGCAUCGAGCUAAUGCAGGGAUGACGUCUUCCCUGUUAGUCAUACAGAGUCGUUAGUUGUAGUCCCUGUAUUCCAAAACUACGUAGCCAACAUAGGAUAUGGGGAUUCACCUAUUAGUUUAGGCUUAACUUUCUCUCAAGGGUCACCCGUCAAUUUAGGCUUGACACCCUGAUCCUUUGUGACGUCAGUUUAGUGGAUCUACAUAGAAAUUAUUAGUACCUAUGGCACGGAACUCUUUCAAUUAGGGUCAUAGAUUUGACCCCAAUUAGCUCAUAUUGGGACAUGUCGAUUAGAUGAUAACUCCCAUAAUCUUAGACCAAUAUUCAGUAAAGAGCUUAGUUUUAGGUUUACUUGAACAUAUCAUACAACUAAUAGUUAUUCAGUUAUCAGCAUGUUAGCAGUUCAGUUUACAAACUAUUUCAAAAUCAUAUUAUAUGUUUGGUCAUGCAUUCUCCGAUUUCACCAUUUUCAUGAAUUUAUAUUUAGUUACCUCAUGCUAUUCAUUCAGUCAAUCAUUAUUCAUGCACAUGAACCCAUUCAUAUUAGCCUAAACUUAUCUAGCAUACCAGUACAUUCAAAGUACUGAUCACAUACUCAUUUAUUGUCCUAUGAUAUUUAAUAUCAUAGGUUUAGACGCUCAGGUUUCCGAUCGUACUCAAACAUUCUAGUGCAUCAGCAACAAUAAUAGUGGUGAGUCCUCAUCUAUCAAGGACAUGGUUGUUAUUUUAGUACAUUUUAGUAUUUUAUUUUAGUUAGAUAGUUGGAGUUAGUUGGGGCCUGUCCCAUCAACUUUCUUUCAGACAUUUUUAGAGGCUUUCAGACAAUUUAGACAGCUAGUCAGUUGUUAGGCCUUUCAGUCAGAUUUUCAAUAAUUUCGCAUAUGUUUUAGAAUUUUGAGUUUUCAGUUGUAUUACUUACAUUUAAAACCUUAAGCUAUGUUUGUUUAUUUUGCACAUGUGUAUUUUGUUAUUAUUAUUCAACGCUCGUAGUAGGUACCAAUUAAUAGGUUAGCUUGUGGUCUUUUAAGACUAUAAGCACCAUGUGGCAUCCAGGGUGUAUUUUCAGGGAGUUGAAAACUUGGUAUCAGAGCCUAAGGUUUUGCAGUGUCCUAUAUUGUUUAAAAGCCGCGUUAAGUAGAGUCUUGUGCAUAGGUGUGAAGUAUGCCACACUUAUGGACAAGAGGCACAAGAUGUUUUUAGGAAAACUUUCCCUUCUUUCAGUAUUCAUGUCAUACAAAUGAGCAUGACCUCAAAUUAAACUCCCUUGCUAAUCUAAUCUUCCUUUCAUUUACAGACCAUGCCUCCCAGAAAGAACAAUGGAAGAAAAAAUGGGAAUCAUCUCACACCUCCACCCAUUCAGGAAGACCCCCUGAAUGAGUAUGUUUCAUAUGCUAAGUUAAGAGCUUCAUUCACUACUCUGGCUUACUCUGUAGCAGCUCAGAACAAUUGGCUAGCUACUGUCCUGUAAUACCCCACAUUUCCUUGGCUUAAGAUUAACUCUCAGUUCAUGAGUUAUCUAAUAUAAAAUUUUUGAAACACUUAGUAUUUUUCAAUUUAAAGCCUGCCAUUGUGUAGGAAAUUGAAUGAACGUUCCAACGAUCUAAAAUUUGCCUAAAUUCGAUAACUGGGUAACAAUUUAUGGCUAUUUUAAGUUUUUUUCAUUAAAAACCGUAAUUGAGGCCAGUAACGCAUCGCGGAGUAAGUCAAAAUAGCAAUUGUUAGUUUCCAGUAAAGUACCACUAUACUGGUACAUCGCGCCAUAACUUAAUUUCACAUUUGUCAAUUUCCAACAACCCAACACGAUUGUACCACAUCGCUCUGAGCUUCCAGGUCCCAUCCAGUAUUGCAAUGUGAUUCCACGUGUCGUACCACCAGCCAUAUUCCCAAUUGUCAUUUUUCAGUGUCUUGGUGCAAUAGCAUCGCGUUGUGCCAAGGCCUAAAAUUGGAUAUUUUAGUAUGAAUUUUUAAGUCAUUCUAAGGGAUAAAUGGGUAUUUUUCCAUGGCCCUAAUUAGUCUAAACACAAAAUUUAGCCCUAAAUAACCCAUUAUCUCAUUAUUUAUUCACUUUAUUCAAAGAUUAAGUCAUUCUCUCUCAAAAGGGGCUAAACCGUAGCUUCAAGAAAUAAGAGCAGAAAUCAAGAGUCUCUCUAAGAACUUUCAAGAAUCAACAAUCCAAGAUAUGUUAGGUGUUCAUCUAUGGAUUUCUUUCACCCAUAGAGUCCAUGAAUUCAUUUUUGAAAUCCAAGAUUGUUGAAUUAUGGAAUUCCAUGCUUGAAUUGAAUUGAAUUCAUGUUUAUGUUAUUGUUGAGUUUUAGUUCAUGAUUAAAUAACAUGCUUUUAUGAAAUUAAUCAUUGUAUUUAUGUUGAAUUACAUGAUCUUUUUGAUAAACCCUUCAAUUUUCAAGUUCAUUGAUGUCGCCAUGAUAGCUAUAUGUUUUGAUUAUUGUAUAACCUAAGCAUGCUCCUCAUAUGUUUGAUAAAAUGCCUAUGUGAAUGAAAUAGUGCCAUUAUAACCUGAUAGCAUGUAUUCCCCAUUCAUGUACAAGUUAAUACAUUAUAAGUGUUUGAUAAAAUGUCUUAUGAAUGAAUUAUGGACAAGUGUACAUUGUUAUGUAUUUCAAGAUUAUGCUAUGCCUUUUUUAUGCUAUAAAGCCCUGAGGGUAUUUAUUACCCGACAAUUUAGGUGUGUGCCUAGAGCUAGUGUCAGUUAUAAAAUCUCAGUCAUGUCACAAUUAGUAGUAAUCUCAGUCAGUUACAGAACUCAGUCGGUUACAGAAUUCAAAAAAACUCAGUAAACUCAGUGUUCAGUCCAGUCCAGUCCAGUAUACUCAGUUCAGUGUCUUUUAGUUGGGAGUAGGAUUCUGCACCGAGUGACCCCAAGGAUGGGGGAUCACCUACUAGUAGAGGGUGUGAUCCUUAGAAGUAAUACUUGUAUUCCAGAACUACAUAGCCAGCAUAGGUUGAGACAUCAAACCUUCCAGUUGAGGGUUGAUGAGGUGUUUUAACCUGCCAGAUGAGGGUUCCACCAUUCUCAUUAGAGUAUUUGUCAGAUGAGGGUAACUCUUCAGUGUCUUUACCCAUGGCGCAGUACUGACACCCUUCCAACUGAGGUCAUAGGUUGGACCCCAACUCCGUUAUCUUUUUUUAUUUGGGGCAUAUCAGUUAGAUGAUUACCUCCCACAGUCUCAGUCUCAGUCUUCAUAAUAGAACUCAGUUCAAUUCUACAGAAUCAGGACUAUCAGAUUCAAUCAAUCAGUAUUAGUAAAUUAGUUAUCAGUAACUUCAAAUAUCAGUUACUCAGUUUCAAAAUUUAGGACUUAGCUUCAGACAAGCUUAGUCAUAGUAUUUAUUUAUAUACACAUUAGUGGAUACUCAGUAUUUACAACAGUAUCAGUUUUCAAUAUACUCUCAUGUUUAGUUACUCUAUAUCAUAUAGUCAAUUAUUGUUCAUGACAAUAAACCCUUGCAUUCAGCCUUACCUUAUCUAGCAUACCAGUACAUUCCACAUACUAAGGCAUACUCUUUCUUUGCGGUAUGAUAUCUCAUAUCAAAAGUUCAGAUGCUCAAGUUCCCGACCACGCAUAGAUAGACUCAGAUUCAGCCAACAAUAGUUGAUUAGCAGUGAAUCCUCAUCAUUCAAGGAUAUUCUUUUAUUUCAUUAUUAUAGUAGAUACAGUAUUUCAAUAGAUGGAGUUAGUUGGGGGAUUGUCCCAUCAAUUCCACAUUUAGACAGUUCAGUUUAGAGGCUUUUCAGACUAGUUUCAGUCAGUAUUCAGUUUUAUAAUGUUAUCAUAGACGACAUAUAUUUUGUUAGUAUUUUAGAUAUUUUGAACCUUAUGGCAUUUCAGCCUAUAAAUUCGCAUUUAUUACAGUAUCUUGUUUCAGUGUCACAACGAGGGGUGUACAUAGGUCGGGUUGGUUCGGUUUUUUAUUAAAACAUAAUCAAACCAAUAAUGUCAUUUUUCUAAAUCUAUAAACCAAAUCAAGCCAAUAUACAAUCGGUUUUUUUAUUUUAAUUUUAGUCGAUUUUUUUCAAUUUUUUUAUUUUCUCGAUUUUUUUACAAUUAUAAUGUGAUUGAAGAAAAACAAUUAAUGUGUUCACCAAAAAGUUUUAAAAAAACAAUGGUCAUAGAGUAGUUUCAAUAAAAAUUAAGUUGGAAAAUUACUAAGACAUCUAAAUUAUUAUCUCUCAAAGUAAUAUUAUGUGGAUACCCAAGUAGUUCAAUUUCUAAGUCACUAGUCACAGUAGCUUGUCUGAAAGUUUCCUUCACAUAAAAUGUGAGCAUACAAAAGAACGACGAAUUGGAGACAACGUAUUAAAAAAUUAACUCCAUAAAGUAAUUAAUUAUAACAUAAUUCCAUAAAAAAAAAAGAGAAAAAAGAGAAACAAACCUAAAUCACAACUUGACGAAUGAGAAAAGUAAGAUAAAAGUAAGAUGAGAAAAUAAUGAGAACUCUCUGAAAACUUGGAAAGUAAAAUGUAAAAAGUGAAGCAAUUAAAGAGUUUUAGGUUUUUAUAUUAAAAUUGGGCUUUGUAUCAAUUUGUUAUUAAUGGAAAAAUACUAUAAUUAAAGGCCCAAAAAUAUAUAUCUAUUUUUUGAAUAUACAAAAAUAAUAAAUGUAAUUAGAAAGUAGAUUAUAAGUAGUGUUUUUUUAUGUAUAAAAUAUUUAAAUUAUAUAUGUAUUACGUCGGUUCGGUUUGGGUUUGGUUUGAUUUUAUUUUUGCUAAUACCAAACCAAACCAAGAAUGAUCAGAUUUUUUUGCCAACACCAAACCAAUCAAACCAAACCAUAAGUCAGUUGUUUCCUCGGUUUGGUUUGAUUCAUCGGUUCAGUUUGACUUAACAGUUCAGUUUGUGCACCCCUACUCACAGCAGAUAUCAGUCAUGGGUUAGCUUGUGGUCCUUCAAGAUCGUAUGCACCGUGUAGCGUCCGGAGUACAGACUCAGGGCAAAACAAACUUGGUAUCUAAGCCUAAGGUUCAACAGAGUCCUAGGGAGUCUGAAAGCCAUAACUAGUAGAGUCUUGUGCAGGGAUGUGUAGCGCACCACACUUAUGGACAGGAGGCUAUGCGAUGUUUUAGGAAACUAUUUCCCUUUCUUCAGUAUUCAUGUCGUGAGACUGAGCAUGAGCUCAAGUUAAACUCUCAGUCUAAUAUGUUUGCUCCUUUUUAUUUAUAGAACAUGCCACCAAAAAGGACUAAUGAAAGGAGAAUUGAAAAUCCAUAGACACCUCAGCCCGUUCAGGCAGAUCGCCUAGACAAGCAUGUCUCUUAUGUAGAAUUCAGAGCUGUAUUCACUACUCUUGCCAAUUUUACAACAGCUCAGAAUGAAUGGCCAACUGCUGUUCUGGCCAACCCAAUGGACAAUACUAUUACAGUCAGGAUUCGGUACUUUACCCAAAUAAAUCCUUCCCUAUUCUCAGGAAAUAAUCUAUAAGAGGAUCUAUAGGAGUUCUUCGAUUAGGUCUAAAAAGUCACAGAUAUUAUGGGAGUUACUUCCAGUGAAAGUGCUGAGUUAGCCACCUAUCAACUACAAAAUAUGGAUCAUACGUGGUUUAAGCAGUAAAAUGUAGACAGGGGUGAAGAUACAGAGCCCUUAGAGUGGAAAGAGUUUGAUACUGCUUUUAUAGAGAGAUUCUUUCCUUUAGAACUGAGAGAAGCCAAGGUGUUAGAGUUCAUUAAUCUCAGGAAGGGAAGUAUGAGUGUGAGAGAGUAUUCCCUCAAGUUUACUCAGUUAGCCAGGUAUGCUCCCCAUGUAGUAGGAGAUAGUAGGUCCAGAAUGAGCAAGUUCAUAUCUGAGGUAUCAGAUAGUGUGGUUAAGGAGCACAGGACAACAAUAUUGAUUAAAGAGAUAGACAUAUCCAGGCUUAUGGUCCUUGAUUAGCAGAUAGAAGAGGCUAAGAAUAGAGAAAAAGAGAGGCAAAACAAAAAAACUAGAACAUGUAGCUUUAAUUUCAAUCAGCCUAAGUUAGAGGGCAGUAACUGUUCAUAGUUUCAUAAAAAAUCUUCAGUUCCAGCUCCGUCCUCAGCCAGUGCUCCAGUACCUAGUUCAAAAUAGUAACAACGAUAGGUCUCCAGGCUCUAAAUCUUAGGGUAGUAUCAGUAGUGCUCGAACAAAUCCUCUUUGUUAGACAUAUGAUAGAAACCACAAGGGUGUCUACAGAGAAACCACAAGGGUGUCUACAGAGCUGACAGUGAUAUUUAUUUUGAGUGUCGCAAGCCAGGCCACAGAGUCAAAGAUUAUCCUCAGUCAGGUUCUCAGGGUCAGCAUACUUAUUCUUCAGCUCAGUCAGGUCGCCCGAAUUAGCAAGGUGCCGCUUAAGGUGCCACUAGUAAGCAGUGCCUAAAUAGGCUUUAUGUACUUCAGUCCAGACAAGAUCAAGAAAAUUCUCCUGAUAUGGUCACUGGUACAUUACAGAUCUUCCAUUUACAUAUUUAUGCCUUGCUAUAUCCAGGAGCUUUUUCAUCUUUCGUAACUCUUUAUAUAGCCUUUAACUUCGGAGUCAGUUCAGAAAUCCUAGUAGAGCCUUUUUCAGAUUUUACCCAGUAGGUAAAUCUAUCAUAGACCGACGGGUAUACAAGAACUGUUCGGUUAUGAUAUCUUAGAAAGUUACUUCAGUAGACCCUGUAGAGAUAGAGAUGGAAAGUUUUGAUGUCAUUCUUGGCAUAGAUUAGCUCCAUUUAUGCUAUACCUCAGUUGAUUGUAGAAAUAGAAUUAUUCUUGUAGAAGCGCAUGGUGCUCAUUACUCUAUUCAUCCAGGGGCUACUAAGAUGUACCGCGAUCUGUGAGAGAUCUAUUGGUGAAGUGGGAUGAAGAGGGAUAUUGUAGAAUUUGAAGCUAAAUGCUCUACAUGUCAGGAAGUUAAGAUUGAGCACCAGAAGCCUAGUGGGUACAUGCAGGAUUUUAGUAUUCCUACAUGGAAAUAAGAAGAAGUGAACAUAGACUUUUUGAUAGGUUUUCCUCGUACUCAUCAUCAGCAUGAUUCGAUUUGGCUUAUCGCAGAUAGAAUGACCAAAUCAGCUCAUUUUUUGCCAGUUCAUACUUCCUAUUCAGCCGAGGACUACACCAAACUUUAUAUCAGAGAGUUGGUCAGGUUACAUGGAGUUCCAGUAUCUAUUAUCUCAGAUAGAGGUACCCAGUUUACCUCUCAUUUCUAGAAAUCACUCCAAGAGGGUCUUAGUACCCAAGUUCAUCUCAGUACAACCUUCCACCCUCAGACAGAUGGUCAAGAAGAAAGGACAAUUCAGACUCUAGAAGAUAUUUUAAGGGCAUGCGUCGUCGAUUUUAAGGGUAGUUAGGAUGACCACUUGCCUUUGAUCGAGUUCAUAUGUAAUAAUAACUAUUAUUCCAGUAUUCAGAUGGCUCCAUUUAAAGCUCUUAAUGGUAGGAGAUGCAGAUCUUUGAGUAGUUGAUUUGAGGUAAGUGAGGCCAUGGUAGUUGGGCUUGACGUAGUGUUUGAUGCCUUAGAGAAGGUUCAGUUAAUCAGAGAAAGACUUAGGGCUGCCCAGAGCUGAUAGAAAUCAUAUGCAAAUGUUAGGAGAAAGGAUCAUGAGUUUGAGAUCAGUGAUUUUGUGUUUUUGAAAACCUCUUCCAUGAAGGGGGUAAAGAGGUUCGGCAAGAAGGGAAAGCUCAACCCCCGAUAUAUCGGUCCUUAUAGAAUUCUCAGCCAUUUUGGAAAGGUAGCUUAUGAGCUUGAGUUGCCUUCAGAUCUAGCCUCAGUGCAUCCAGUAUUCCACGUCUUCUUGCUAAAGAAAUGCAUUAGUGACCCAGCAGUCAUAGUUCCUUUAGAGGAUGUAAAUAUUUAGAAUGAUCUCUCUUUCGAAGAGGUUCCAAUCCAGAUCCUCGAUCAUCAAAUUUGUAGACUGAGAAACAAAUAAGUUACCUUAGUUAAAGUCCUUUAACAGAAUUAGUCUAUAGAGGGAGCUACUUGGGAAGCUGAAGUAGAUAUGCAGAUCAAGUAUCCUCACCUCUUCUCCGCAACCUCGGAUCCAGCUUAAGGUAACAGUCUUCCUUAGUUUUACUCAGUUCCAUGUUCAGCUAUAAUUAUAACUUGGCAUCCAUUACCGUUGCAUAUUCAGUCAUGCAUUCAUAAACCAGUUCAAUCAUGUAGUCAUGCAUUAUAUAUGCAUGUUCAAUGUGUAAACUCAAUCUAUCAGUGUCUCGGUUUAAUCAGUCUCAUUCGAGGAUGAAUGUUCCCAGGGGGAGAUAUUGUAAUACCCCAUAUUUCCUUAGCUUAAGAUUAACUCUUAGUUCAUGAGUAAUCUAAUAUAAAACUUUUGAAAUGCUCAGUAUUUUUAAGUUUAGAACCUGCCAUUGCGUAGAAAAUUGAAUCAGCUUUCCAACGACAUAAAAUUUACCUAAAUCCGAUAAACAGGUAAGAAGUUAUGGCUAUUUUAAGUUUUAGUCAUUAAGCACCGUAAUUCUAGCCAGUAGCGAGUCGCAGAGUAAGACAAAAUGGCAAUUGUUAGUUUCCAGUGAAGUACCGCUAUAACGGCAUGGCGCGCCACAGCUUAAUUUCACAUUUGUCAAUUUCCAGUGAGUGAACACGAUUGUACUGCAUCGCGCCGAGCUUCCAGGUCCUAUCCAGUAUUGCAACAUGAUUCCACUUUAUCACGCCACCAGCCACAUUCUCAAUUAUCAUUUUUCAGUGGCUUGGUGCGAUAGCGGUGUGCCACGCUAGGGCCCAAAAUUAAGUUUUUCAGUACAAAUUUUUAAGUCAUUAUCAGGGGUAAAUGGGUAUUUUUCCAUGGCCCUAAUCAGUCUAAACAUGAAAUUUACCCUUAAACAACCCAUUAUCUCAUCAUUUAUUCACUUUAUUCAAAGAUUAAGUCAUUGUCUCUCAAACGGGGCUGAACCCUAGCUUCAAGAAAUAAGAGCAGAAAUCAAGAAUCUCUCCAAGAACCUUCAAUAAUUAACAAUCCAAGGUAUGUUAGGUGUUCAUUUAAGGGUUCCUUUCACCCAUAGAGUCCACGAAUUUAUUUUUGAAAUACACGAUUGUUGAAUUAUGAACUUUUACGCUUGAAUUGAAUUGAAUUCAUGUUCAUGUUAUUGCUGGGUUUUAGUACAUGAUUAAAUUACAUGCUUUUAUGAAAUUAAUCAUUGUAUAUGUGUUGAAUUACAAGAUCUUCAUGAUAAACCCUUCAAUUUGUAAGUUGAUUGAUGUGGCCAUGAUAACUAUAUGUUUUGAUUAUUGUAUAACCUAAGAAUACUCCCCAUGUGUUUGAUAAAAUGCCUAUGCAAAUGAAAUAGUGCAAUUAUAACAUGAUAGCAUGUAUUCCCCAUUCAUGUACAAGUUAAUGCAUUACAAGUAUAUGAUAAAAUGUCUUUAUGAAUGAAUUAUGGACAAGUGUACAUUGUUAUGUAUUUCAAGAGUAUGCUAUGCCUUUCUUUUAUGCUAUCAAGUCCUGGGGGUAUUUAAUACCCGAUAAUUUAGCUGUAUGCAUAAAGCCAGUGCCAGUGAUAGAAUCUCAGUCAUGUCACAAUCAAUAGUGCUCCCAGUCAGUUACAAAACUCAUUAGAACUCAGUUGGUUACAGAGCUCAGGAAAACUUAGUAAACUUAGUGUUCAGUCCAGUCAAGUUCAGUAUACUCAGUUUAGUGUCUUUCAGUAGGGAGUAGGAUUCAACACCGAGUGAACCCAAGGAUGGGGGCUCACCUGCUAGUAGAGGGUGUGAUCCUUAGAAGUAAUCCUUGCAUUCCAGAACUAUGUAGCCAGUAUAGGUUGAGACAUCAAACCUGCUAGUUGAGGGUUGAUGAGGCAUUUUAACCUGCCAAAUGAGGGUUCCACCAUUCUCAUUAGAGUACCUAGAAGAUGAGGAUAACUCUUCAGUGUUUUUACUGGCACGGUACUAACUCCCUUCCAACUAGGGUCACAGGUUGGACCCCAACUCAGUUAUUUUAUCUUAUUUGGGGCAUGUCGAUUAGAUGAUUACCUCCCACAGUCUCAAUCUCAAUCUUUAGAAUAGUACUCAUUCAAUUUUACAGAAUUAGGACUGUCAGGUACACUCAACCAGUACCAGUAAAUCAAUUAUUAGUAAUUUUAGACAUCAGUUACUCAGUUUCAGAAUGAAGGACUUAGCUUCAGGCAAGCUUAGUCAUAGUAUUUAUUUAUAUGCAUAUUAGUGCAUACUCAGUAUUUACAGUAGUAUCAGUUAUCCAUGUACUCUCAUGUUCAGUUACUCAAUAUCAUACAGUAAGGUAUUUUUCAUGCAUAUGAGCCCUUGCAUUCAGCCUUACCUCAUCUAGCAUACCAGUACAUUCCAUGUACUGAUGCAUACUUUUUCUUUCAGCUAUGAUGUCUCAUAUCAUAGGUUCGGAUGCUCAGAUUGCCGACUGCACAUAGAUAGAUCAGAUUCAGCUAACAGUAGUAGAUUAGCAGUGAGUCCUCAUCAUUCAAGGAUAUUAUUUUAUUUUAUUAUUAUGGUAGAUAUAAUAUUUCAGUAGAUGGAGUUAGUUGGAGGAUUGUCCCAUUAUCUCCAUAUUUAGAUAGUUCAGUUUAGAGGCUUUUCAGACUAGUUUCAGUCAGUAUUCAGUUUUACAGAUGUUAUCAUAGACGUUAUAUAUUUUGUCAGUAUUUCAGAUAUUUUGAACCUUAUGGCAUUUCACCCUACUUUUUUUACAUUUAUUACAGUAUCAUAUUUUAGUGCUCACAACAGAUAUUAGUCAUGCGUUAGCUUGUGGUCCUUUAGGGUCGUAAGCACCAUGUAGUAUUUGAGGUACAAACUUAGGGCGUUACAUGUCCCAGCCAACCCAGUGUCUAAUACCGCCGUAUCUAGGAUUUGGGAGUUCACCUAAAUGAAUCCUCCUCUAUUUUUGGGACCCAAGUCUGAUGAGGAUCCACAGGAGUUUCUCGAAAUAGUUCAAAAGGUAACAAAUAUUAUGGGUAUGACUUCUAGUGAGAGUGCAGAAUUGGCUGCUUACCAGUUGCAGGAUGUAGCUUAUACUUGGUAUAGGUAGUGAAAGGGGGAUAGAGGUGUAGAUGCAGAGCCUAUAAAAUGGAAGGAGUUUUCUUUAGCCAUUUUACAUAGAUUCUUUCCCUUAGAGUUGAGGGACACUAAGGUGCUGGAUUUCAUUAAUUUAAAGAAGGAAAAUAUGAGUGUGAAGGAGUAUUCGCUUAAAUUUACUCAGCUAGCCAGGUAUGCUCCUCAUGUGGUGGCUGAUAAUAGGUCUAGGAUAUGCAAGUUUGUGUUUGGUGUAUCUGAUAGUGUGGUCAAGGAGUGUAAAACCAUAAUGUUUAUUAAAGAGAUGGAAUUAUCUAGGCUUAUGGUCUAUCCUCAACAAAUUGAGGAAAAAAAGGUUAAGGAGAAAGAAAGAGAGAAUAAAAGGGCUAGGACAGGUAGUUUCAACUUUGCUCAGUCGAGGUUAGAUGGUGGUAACCGUACCCAAUUCCAUCACAAAUCUUCAGCUGCAGCUCCAUCUUCAGCUAGUGCUCCUAUGCCAAAGUUCAUAAAUGACAAUCAGGAUAGGGCGCUAGGCUCUAAGUCCCAAGGCAGUGUAAACAGUGGUCGCACAAAUCCUCUUUACCAAAAAUAUGGUAGAAUCCAUUAGGGUGAGUAUAGAGCUGUCAAUGAUGUAUACUUUGGGUAUGGGAAGCUGUCAAUGAUGUAUAAAUAGGGUCAUUUAAUUUUAGUUUCCGAAUGAACCAGUUCUUAAAUAGAGGGUUAGUACUUCAAUCCUUAGGGGUUAGCCUGUUUCAUAUCUUAGAGUGAGAAAAAUAAUAUCCAAGGGGUGUGUUUACCAUCUUGUUUGAGUCAAAGACUCUAGUUCAGAGACUCCCAACCUCGAGUCAGUUUCAGUAGUGAGGGAAUUUCUUGAUGUGUUCCCUGAACACCUUCUCGGAGUUUCUCCCAAAAAGGAAAUUGACUUUUGAAUAGAACUUCUUCUAGAUACCCAUCCUAUCUUUAUUUCACCAUAUAGAAUGGCUCCAGGUGAACUAAAGAAGUUGAAAGAACAGUUAAAAGACUUCCAAGAUAAGGGAUUUAUUAGGCCAAGUAUUUCCCCAUGGGGCGCUCCAGUCCUUUUCGUGCAUAAAAAAGAUGGCUCCCUUAGAAUGUGUAUCGAUUAUCGUUAAUUGAACAAUGUCAUAAUCAAGAAUAAAUAUCCACUCCUCAAAAUCGAUGACUUAUUCAACCAAAUUUAACGUGCUACUUAUUUAUCUAAGAUAGACUUUAGAUCUAGCUAUCAUCAGCUCAAAUUCAAAGAAUGUGACAUUCCAAAAUAGCUUUCAAAACUCGGUAUGGUCACUUCGAAUUCCUAGUCAUGUCUUUUGGACUAAAGAAUGCCCCAUCGGCUUUUAUAGACUUAAUGAUCAGAGUGUUCAAACAGUUCUUGGACAUGUUCAUUAUAGUCUUCAUUGAUGACAUUCUUGUCUAUUCCCGUAGUGAAAAUGAUCAUACAGACCAUCUCAGAAUUGCAUUGCAUACUCUUAGAGCCGAUCAGUUGUUCGUCAAAUUCAGUAAGUGCAAAUUUUGGCUAAUAUCAGUAGUUUUCCCUGGCCAUAUUGUUUUCAGUGAUGACAUUAGGGUUGAUUUUUAAAAGACCGAAGCAGUGAAAAACUGGCCUAGACCUAUCUCUUCAUCAGAUAUCAGGAGUUUCUUAGGUUUGGCUAGCUAUUACUAAUGGUUUGUUGAAGGUUUUUUAUCUAUUCCAUCCCCUAUGUCUAGAUUGACUCAGAAGAAAGUUAAGUUUCAGUGGUCAGAUUCUUGUGAGAAGAGUUUUCAGGAGUUGAAGACUCGACUCACCUUAGCCUUAAUUUUGACGUUGGCAGACAGUUUAGAGAGAUUUGUUGUUUACUGUUAAGCUUCUAGAGUUGGUCUUGGUUGUGUGUUGAUACAGAGAGGUAAGGUCAUAGCCUACGCUUCUAUACAACUUAAACCCUAUGAAAAAAAUUAUCCUACCCUUGAUCUUGAGUUAGCUGUUGUUGUGUUUGCUUUAAAAAUUUAAAGGCAUUAUCUCUAUAAGGUGCAUGUUGAUAUGUUCAAAAACUACAAAAGCUUUCCGUAUGUACUUUCAAAUAAAGAUUUGAAUCUUCGUUAGAGAAGAUGUUUGGAGUUGUUGAAAGACUAUGAUAUGAGUGUUUUGUAUCACCUGGGCAAGGCCAAUAUAGUGGAAGUUCCCUUAGUAGAUUGUCGAUGGGUAGUGUUGUUCAUAUUGAGAAUGAUAAAAAAUAGUUAGUUCAGGAGGUUCAUCAGCUUGCUAGAUAAAGUGUUCGGUUGGUUGAUUCAGCUGAGGGUAGUGUUUGGGUUCGGAGUAGUUUGGAAUCUUCAUUGGUUGCCGAAGUAAAGAAGAAGCAGGGUAGGGAUCCAAGUUUAGCUAAGCUGAAAGAAUAAGUGAGAGACCUGAAAGUUGAGGUUUUCUCCCAAGGGGGAGAUAGUGUGUUACAUUAUUAGGGUAGACUGUGUGUUCUAUGUCUUGAUGAUUUGAGGCAGCGAAUUCUUGCAGAGGCACAUGGUGCGUGUUACUCUAUUCACCCAGGAUCCACUAAGAUAUACCACAGUUUGCGAGAAAUCUAUUGGUAGAGUGGUAUAAAGAGGGAUAUUACAGAGUUUGUAGCUAAGUGUUCUAACUGUCAGCAGGUUAAGGUUGAGCACCAGAGGCCUAGUGAAACCUUACAAGAGUUUAACAUUCCCGCUUGGAAGUGGGAAAAGGUGAACAUGGAUUUUGUGACAGGCUUGCCUCAUAUGCGUACUCAGCAUGAUUUAAUAUGGGUUAUUUAGCCUAUUUCUUGCUAGUUCAUACUUUCUAUGCGACCGAGGAUUAUGCCAAGCUCUAUCUUAGAGAAUUGGUUAGAUUGCAUGGAUUCUCGUUGUCUAUCAUUUGAGAUAAAGGUAUUCAGUUUACCUCUCACUUUUGGAGGGCUUUUCAGAAGGGUCUAGGCACCCAAGUUUAUCUUAGUAUAGAUUUUUAACCUCAUAUAGAUGGUCAUGCAGAGAGGACCAUUCAUACCCUAUAAGAUAUGUUAAGGGCAUGUGCUCUCAAUUUCAAGGGUAGUUCGGAUGAUCAUUUAUCCUUAAUUGAGUUUGCCUACAAUAACAGUUACCAUUCUAGUAUUCAAAUGGAUCCGUUUGAGGCUCUCUAUGGGAGGAGAUAUAGAUCUCCUAUUAUUUGGUUUGAGGUAGAUGAGACUAUAGUAUUAUGGCCUGAUUUAUUAUUUAAUGCAAUGGAAAAAGUUUAGUUAAUCAGGGAGAGGCUUAAAAAAGCCCAAAGAUGACAAAAAUCAUAUGUAGAUAUGAGGAAAAGAGAUCUUGGGUUUGAGGUUGGUGACUAGGUCUAUUUGAAAAUCUCUCCCAUGAAGGGAGUGAAGAGGUUCGACAAGAAGGGAAAGCAUAGUCCCCGAUAUGUUGGCCCUUACAGGAUCUUAAGCCACUUUGAAAAAGUAGCUUACGAGCUUGAGCUGCCUGCAGAUUUGGCAUCAGUGCACCCAGUGUUUCACAUUUCUUUGUUGAAAAAAUGUAUUGGUGAUCUAGCUGUCGUUGUUCCUUUAUAAAGCUUAGAUGUUUAGGAUAGCCUUUCUUAUGAAGAAGUUCCAGUCAAAAUCUUAGAUUGCCAUAUUCGCAGACUAAGGAACAAAGAAGUUCCCUUGGCCAAAGUUCUUUGGCGAAAUCAGUCCAUUGAGGGAUCCACUUAGGAAGCAUAAGCAAAUAUGUGAACCAAGUACCCUUACCUUUUCUCUGCAAACUCAGAUUCUGUUUAAGGUAAUAGUUUUCCCUUAGAUUAUAUCUUUUUUAUUCUCAGUCCCAGCUAUAUGAUCAUAUUAAUAUCAUUACAUGCAUUCACGAAUCAGUUCAGUCAGUCACCAUGUUCAGACUCAGUCAUGUAAUCAUGUUUUAGUUGCGUAUAUUCAACAUGUACACUCAGUACCUCAAUAAUUCUCAGCUUAACUAGUCUCCUUCAAGGACAAAUGCUCCCAAGGAGGGGAUAAUGUAAUAUCCCGUAAGAUCUUAGCUCGUUUCGACUCACUCUUGCAUGCUAAAUGGGUCCAAGACUUAGAAAAUUUCACCAAGUGUUAAAACUUAAUCAUUUCCAAAGCCUCUUAAACUUUGAUAAUUUUAAUUUUGACCUUCUUGGCCUUAGAACGUCAAUUUUUAAGUUGAUUCAUGAUCGGGGUGGUAGACAACAUGUCUCGGGUAAUUUUCAGAUUUUUUGAAUAAGGUUUGAGGAUUGUUUGGAUGUUCAAACCAGCGAGUUAGUGUGAUAUGGCUGUGGCAUGCUGCUUAUCACUUUGGUGGGGUGCAAUGUGGCGUGUCGCCUAAUGGAUCGACUGAGCAACCUGAUGCGUCACUUACCGUGUCACUGGCCACAUUUAGUUUGAUUAAUUUUGGGUAUUUUGGGUAUUUUAGGGUAUUUGAGUUAUUUUCCCCUUACUUUACCUCACCCAUAACACGAUAUUAAGGCCCAAAAAGGGAAAUAUCACUUAUGUUUUCACAAGUCUCUCAAGAACAAAACCCUAGCUUCUUCAAAUCCAAGUUCAAGCUUCAAGAAAAUCACCAAGAACUCCCAAAAAUUCAUCAGUUAAGGUAUGUUAGAUGUUCAUUCAUGGAUCCUUUUCACCCAUGGAGUCCAAGAAUUCGCUUUAAAGUUUAAAAUCAUGACCUUUAUAUGUUUUCAUGAAUUUUAUCCAUGAACUUGCAUGAAUUUUGAUUUUUAUAUCAUGUUUACAUGUAUUUUUGUUGGAAUUAGCCUUUGAUCCGUUAGAAGGAUGAUAUUUGCAUGUUAAAUCCUUAACCAUGAUUUUAAUAUUGAAAUUAUGUUAUUAUGAGAUAAUUUAACUAUUCACAUGCUUUAACUCGUGACCCCUAUGUGUUUGAUAAAAUGCCUAGAUGAAUGGGUUUUGAACAAUGACUACUUAUGAUGUCCUUAAAGUUGUAUUAUGAUUCUAUUGCUAUUGCUAUCGAGUCCUGGGGGUUAUGAAUCCCUAAAAACUUAGUUGUUUACUUAGUCUUAGUAUCUUCAAAAUGGUUUUAGAUAUUUUAUAAGCAGUAUCAGUUCAGUCAGUUAUCAUAAUCAGUUAAACUUAGAUCAGUUCAGUAUUCUGAGUCAAUUUAGUUGGGAGUAGGAUUUAACACCGAGCAAAUGCAGGGAUGACAUCUUCCCUGUCAGUCAUGUGGAGUCGUUAGUAGCAGUCCCUAUAUUCCAGAACUACGUAGCCAGCUUAGGAUAUGGGGAGUCAAAUAUCAGUUUAGGCUUGACUUUGUUUCAGGGGUCACCCGUCAGUUUAGGCUUGACACCCUAGUCCUUCAGGAUGUCAGUUUAAUGGAUCCACACAACCAUUGCUAGUAUUUGUGGCACAGUACGGGCACUCUUCCAACUGGGGUCAUAGGUUGGACCCUAAUUAGCUCAUAUUGGGGCAUGUCUGUUAGAUGAUAGCUCCCACAGUCUCAGACCAGUAUUCAGUACAGAGUUUAGUUUCAGGUUUACUUGACAAUAGCCUAUAAAUACCAGUUAUUUAGUUAUCAGUAUGUCAGUAUUUCAAUUUACAAACUAUUUUAGAAUCAUAUUAUAUGUUUGGUCAUGCAUUCUUAAAUUUCACAGUUUUCAUGCAUUUAUAUUUAGUUACCUCAUGCUAUUUAUGCACAUGAACCCAUGCAUAUUAGACUAACCUUAUCUAGCAUACCAGUACAUUUAAAGUAUUGAUCGCAUGCUCAUUUCUUGCGCUAUGAUGUUUAAUAUCAUAGGUUUAGAGGCUCAGUUCCCAACCAUACUUAGACAUUCUAGCACAUCAACAGCAACAACAGUGGUGAGUCCUAAUCUAUCGAGGACAUGGUUGUUCUUUCAGUUCAUUUCAAUAUUUUAUUCCAGUUAGACAGUUGGAGUUUGUUGGGGCCUGUCCUAUCAACUCUCUUUCUAACAUUUUAGGAUGCCAGUCAGUUGUUGGUUUUUUCAGUAAGAUUUUUAAUAAUUUCGCAUAUUUUUUAGACUUUAGGUUUUCAAUUGUAUUACUUUUAGAUUUAAAAACUUAAGGUGUGUUAAAUUAUUCUGCACAUGUGUAUUUUGUUAUUAUUAUUCAAUUCUCACAAUAGGUACUAGUUCAUGGGUUAGCUUGUGGCCUUUCGGGACCAUAAGCACAGUGUGGCAUCCAAGGUGUAUUUCUGGGGUGUUACAAAGACCCUAAUGUUAAACCUUACACAACAAGCAUCCACAUAUGCAAAUCAUCAUCAUUAACAUGUAUAAACAUAAGUCUAAGCAAGAGUCAACAUUAUUCAUCAUUAGAUAACAAAACUCUUUUCAUUUGAUUUCAAAGUCACUAUGUACACUUACUAAUCCAAGUGUAAAAUACAUGGGUUAAGAGUUAUUUAACAAGUGGGAAUAGGUACAUGCCUUAAACAAGAUGACUCACUAAGAAACUUAACUUUGCUUUGCCUCCAGAAGAUUACCCUUGAAACCCUAACCUUCAAUUCUUCAAAGAUGAGUUUGAGAGAGUAUUUUGGGUGUUUGAUCCCCACAAAAUAUGUUUAAGGAGGCCUUAUACACCUACAUAGUGAAGGUAUUUAGGAUUUAAGGCAAGGGAAAUGACCACAAGGCCUUUAGUUAAAAGCUAUAAAAUGAGCUCGUGCAGGGGUACGACUCACCUUAUGAACUGUACCCUAGGGUACUAGUGGUACCCUGAAUCAUACCCUACGCUUAUCCUAGGUCACCUACACUAUUAAGGGUAUGAUCACACAACCUUGAGUUGUAUCCAAAAGGUACGACUCAACCCUAACUCGAAUACACCACUCGUACCCCAAACAGUUCACUCAAGAUAGGACUUCCCUCUAUACGAUCAUGUUGGGUACAAUUGAUGAGAGGGUUCAUUCAUACCUAGGACAGUGAGUAACCCUUACCACACUUCUUAGGAUACUAGAUGGGAAGAGAAGAAGGAUAUGACUCGUAUCCAAGGGGUACGAUUCGUGCCCCUAGUCGUACCCACCCCAAUGUCAUCAAAUGGAGAGUUCUUUCAAUGGUUCAAAGUCUAAGUGUUUCACAAAGAUUUUAAGGUCUUCUAUGUCAUAACUACUUGAUUCUUUUUCUUUGUCCUUUAACUUCUCCUUAAGUCCUGGAAUCGACUUUGGACUCUUCUUGAUAACAACCCAGGCUUGGAAGUCCUUUGAUUGGACAAAGAUUCUGAACCUAUUCUUCUAGUAAGAGUAAUGUUGUCCAUUAAAGUAUGGUGGUCUUGUGGAGAAAUGACCAUCUUGAAGGAGAGUGCCAAGAAUUUGAUAAUUGGCCAUUUGAUCUUUGCUCACUUGCGGUUAAGCAAUACUAUAGGUGAGACCUACUCUGAUACCAAUUGAAAUUCAAGAGGGGGUGAAUUAAAAUUUUUUUGUGAGUCGACUAAUGACUCCUUAUAGUCGAAUUACCUAUAUAUCAGUGCACUUUACAAAUAUAUUAUAUUUAAAAUAAUUAAACAAGUAAAUAACAGAAUAUAAAGUAAUAACACAAAUAUUUAUCCUGGUUUGGAACACCAAUGUGGUGCCUACUUCCAGUCCCUUUGGGUUUCAAAGUUCUCUUAGAUCGUUGACUGUUGGGCUUGAGUACAAUGAUAGGAAAUAAUUUUUGAAGAAUUUUUUUCUCUUCAGAUCUUGUGAAACAGCUUUAGUUGAUGUUACAAAGUUGACUCGGCCCUACUCUUUAUAUAACAAUUGUAAACUAAAAGCUACAAAGCCUCGUUAGGCUAAGAUUGGGACACAUUAAAUUUUCUGCUUGAAGUUGCAUAAAAAACGUCUGUCUUUAGUCUUCAUCUUUUAUAGUCUCAGCUGCUACUCUUCAUAAGGAAACCCAAAAGAUUUUUUCUCAAUCAAGGAUAUAAAUUGAUUUCUUGAUUGAGGAAUGUAGCCGUAUGAUAUGUCCAUAUACGACUUUGGAGCACGUCCAUAUCAAAUAUGUCCGUGAUCUAUUUUUUUUUUGGUCUUGUAGAGAUUGAUGUCUUUCUAAAUGUGCUCGUGAUCUUUUUUUUUUUCUUGAUCUGAUUUGUUGAAACUUAUCUUGAUUGAUUUGGUCUGUUGUGAUUCUAGGAUUGCAAUAUUUCUUCUAUUUGCAUGAUAUUUGAUUGAUCUUCUUGCCAUACUAUUUAAAUAUCGUGAUCCUCUAUAUCUUCGAGUGAGGUACUCUUCUAUCUUCCAAUAUCUUGAUUUGAUUUUUUGUGGCAUUUGGAGCUGAGAUUCUCUUUCUAUUUGUUCUCAUUUGUGAUUAAAUUACUUGGAUACCAUGGAUGUCCUUCCGUUCUUGAUGUUCCUAGAGCUAGCAUCCUUUAUCCUUCCAAUAUUAGCAGUUUUCAAUGUCCUGCAAAGAUACACUUGUUAGUUUGUCAUUAUUAAAAUGUAGAGGCUAAAAAAUACAUCAAGAAGUCCUCAAAACUAAGCUAAACACGCAUAGAUAAUGACACUUAGGUGUAUAAAUACGCCUAAGAUAAACUCUUGGACAAAAUUUAAUUUCAUUUCGACCCAAGUCGUAUUCCCUCUAUUUUUAGACUUUGAGAGCUCAAAAAUUGGUAAUUUCAAAAGAGUUUUUGUGAAUUCUUCCAUGGGUAUGUCUCUAAACCUUGUAUUCAUCUCUUUUCAUUUAUUUCUUUGUAUCUUCAGAUGUUUGAUUUUAAACAUGAUUUUGGAGAUUUUACCUGAUAAAGUAGUUGAUCAAUUUCUUAUUGAUUUGAGGUCCGAUUUAACUCAUUUUUAGUUGAACUUUCAGAUUUAGAUUCCUCUUGAUAUGAAAAAUAUUAUUCUCAAAUUAAAUUCCAAUUUACUCUUGCCAUUCUGGAAUUGAUUUUUGGACCAAAACAAAUAUAGUCGAUGUGGAUAUGAUUGGACUCCUGUUGACUUGUAGAUGUCAUAAUUGAAUAGAUUGGUUAUGUUUGGAGAUGAUUCGAAGGAGUAGAGCUUCCACUGACGAUUCAGAUUUGUUUGACAUCUUCUUUAAAGGCAAAUUGAGAUAUACUUUGGAUUUUUUUGAAGUAUUUUUGUGCUGUAUGAUUGUUUGCUUGUGCUUUGUGAAUCUCUUAGUAUUGGAGAUCCCUUUUUGAUGAAAUAACGAGCAUCUCCCUAGGUACCAGAGUCAUUUGAUGGAUUAUAGUCAUACAUAAGGUUAUUUUAUUUAUUCUAGCCACUUCUAAUUAUAGUUAGAUUAGAUUGUAGAUAGUUGUCUUGUUGAUCUUAAAUAAUUGAUGGUGAAUUAUCUAGUCCAGAGCUUGAAUUGCAUUUCGUGAACUUUAUUGUGAUGAUCGAGUUUUAGUGACCUUUUAGGGGAUAAUCAUAUUAUUGUUGUUAUUUUGAUGAGUUGACUGAGGUUUAGGAAAUACUUAGAAUACAAAUGGACUUAUAAUAAUUGUGGUGAUUAUCAUGGUUUAGUAUUUCUUACUAGGGACUAUUAUUAACUAGUAUAGCUCUCCUUUUAGUUAUUUAGUCCAAUGCUAUCAUCUUUGGGAAAGAAGAGACGUACUAUUACAGAAUAAGCUAGGUUUGGGUAAGUUUUGAUAUAUAGUAGUAUAUGUAUUAUUUAUUAUUUUUGUCCUAUCCGUGUGGGGACUUAUGUGAUUAUUAUCAUUGGAUUGAGAGAUUAUUACUAUAGUGAUGCCCGAGAGGCAGCUUGAAUUGACAUUAUUGACAUUAUUUGUGCAUUAAUUGACUUAUCAUUUAUCCUAAUGCCGAGUGGGGGCUUGAGCUAAUAAUAUAUGCCACACUUGAAGCUUAUUUCCCUUUUAAUUUUGUGAUGUUCGAGAAAGAAUUUGUAUGAUGAUAUUAUUGAUGUCUACAAGUCUAUUCACUUUAAUGGUACCGAAGAGGGCUCAUAUGAUGGAAUAUUAUCAUAUUGAGGUGAUUUGAGCACAUUAUACCAUUAUUGAGUUGAGUCAUUAUCAUUAUAUUGACUUACUUAUGCACAUGCAUCCUCAUCUUAUUCAUAGAAAUUGGUACCAUUGAGAAAUACUUUAUAAAAUCGUUUAUCUAUGAACAUUUUUCGGAGAGGUGAAUGAGUCACUUUAUAAAAUUCUUUAUCCAUGAACAUUAGCUGGAGAGGUGAAUUGUGAUCUGAGAUUAAGAUUGUGAAAGCAUAUGGAUUUCUAAAUCCCAUGGGUCCUAUUUGAAGCGUUGAGGCUUAGAAGGUGUAUAUAAAAGUUAUGUGAUGGCUUAUAUCAUCACCAUUCCAUCAUCAUUAUUAUAUUGCACUACAUUACUUGCAUCGCAUUGCAUUCCUUGGUAUGAUUUGAUAUUGUGUUUGAAUAUUUACUUUUAUACUGAAUGUGAUUGAACCUUGUUUGUGAUAUUAUGUAGUAUGCAUUCAUUUCACUAUAUUAUAUCAUAUAUUAUCUUCUCUUAGUUGAGUUGGUGCUUGAGAUAUUAUGAGACGUGGAGUAUGGCUAUAGCUUGAUCAGUGAGAUUGUAGUGUCGCACCUGUAGGUGGCAUGAUAUACACAUAUUUGUACACUCUCAUCAUUUCACCCAUAUUAUUGUUUGAACAUAUUUCCUGAUCAUGAUAUACAGUGUUAGUGAGUCUCCCUCAUAAAUGACUUCCUUUUACUAGUUAAUUAUAAAAUUACUAGUGUUGACUCACCUAAAUUAGUUUGCCUACAUGUACAUAUUGAUAUUUCCACGACUAUUGAGUUGAGAUACUGAUGAGUGGUGAUUUUACUACUCAUUUGCACUCAAUGUUUAUGUAUAUUAUCAUGGUUUGAAUGAAUAAAUAAGACAUAAUUGUGAUUGAAUACACUGAUAUCUGCAUUUUGUAGGCACAUUAUUGAUAAGAUAAAAGGAUGCGGAUUUGGAGCUAAAAAGGAUCAAAAGGAAGCAAAGAAGUGCAACUGAGACUUGGAGCAGACAUGGCCUCAGUUAUCGUAGUCAAGGUCAGUUAAUAAGGUCAACCUACCACGGUCGCGGUAGCCGGGGUUGCAGCCAAGCCUAUGUGAUCGCGGUCUAAAAUAAAAAUGCAGCCUAAGGGCAAAAAUAUAAAUACACUUGGCUGAUCCCAAAUUUGACAAAAGGAAGAAUCAAACCCUAAUCAUUCAUCACAUUCCAUCUUCCCCAAUUUUUAGACAUUGUUCUAGGGUUUGUAGUCUCCAUUCUUAGAGAAGAAUAUAUUGUAUAAAUUUUGGGUGAAGAAUAUUUUGGAGUCACUUCCAAGUGAAGAAUUAGUGAACUCCUAUUGAAGAUUUGUUGGAUCUCAUUGUUUGAAGUAAUAUUCACUUAGAUUUUCUCAAAUCAAAUCAAUGAAGAUUUUGGGUAAAAUCUUUACUUAUUUAUCUUAUGAGUAGCUAGUUUUUCCUCUUCGGAUUAUGCUAGAAUAGGGUGUAAAUAUGUGUUGGGUGUGAUUUGUUUGUGCAUUUACUAGUUUGUGAUGUUGGAUUCUACUAUUUCUUGAGUAAAUUGGUUGGAAUUUAUGGCUGAAAGCCCCAAAUACCUAAAUGGGUUUGAUCGAUGAAAAUCCCAAGCUUUAGAAAUCUCAAACCAUCCUUGAAAGAGGAGUUAGGGUGAAUUUUAGGAACCCACAUCAUCCUUGAAAGAGGGAUGUGGGAACCAAGGCAAUAAUAGAUAAUUUAUGAGCAUAGUUGACUUAUUUUCACUAUCUUAGCAUAAGGAUGAUUGUGUAGUUGACUAUACUUAGGGCACUAUCCUAGAAAUAGGGGUGUCUAAUUGAGGUAUUAGGUGGUUUGAUUGAAGCACUCAUUAGGAACUCGAAAGGGUCAAUGAGUGACACCCUCGAAGUUUUGUUGACAAACUAGCCUCAAAAAUUUUUAACCUAUCCUACCACAUCACCAACACUUAGAAUUUGCAUCAAAUUAUCACACUCAUGCAUAUGUUUUCCCUGGAAAAGUAUAAUCCCAAGAUCUGUGCCUAAUUGCCUAGACUCUAAUUAUUCGUAACCCCGAAUUAAUACUAGAAAAUCUCAAAAAGAAACAUUAGUGUUAAUACCGUUCUCAUCCCCCAUUUUAAUCUUUUUGUAACAUCAGUUUGAAUUUAACAAGUAUACAUUAUUUCGAAUUAACUUGAUUGUCACUCACAUUGUUCCUCAUGGAUUCAUCCCUAACUCUAAAGUUGGAUAAAUAUAUUGACGAUGACCGCCGUGUACUUAAAUUGACGUGUAAGUUGAGCGUUAUCAGAUACCUUGUUAGGAUGAAAUGAUGUAUUUAGCAAUGGUAGAUUGGUGGGAACGCUAGGUAGCUAGAGGGGUGGUUCUCACUAUGACUUUGGAUUAGAAUCAGCUAUCAACGAUGCUUGUUGAGUACAUGUGUUUCAUACUCACCCUUGCUUCUUUUUCCUUUUUCUUGUGUUUCUAUACUCUAUGCAGGUAUUGGUUCGAUUAGUAGAUCGUUAAGUGCAUUUAUUCGAUGUUGAUAUUACGGAGAUCGAGAUAGUAGUUAACGCUUUAUUGAGCUUACCUGAAUCUCUUUUUAUUUAUCUUAUGCUUUAUCUAGAUUUAAGAUACUGUAUUUUAUUGGUACUAUUCUAUAUUUAGAGACUUGUACUAUUGACAACCAAGCCUGAGAUGUAUCUUUGAAAUUAUCCUUUCGCCUUUAAAUAUUUUGGAAUUAUUCGAUUCUUCUUUUUUUAUUUUAUUUUAUUUUUUCAAUUAUUGAAUUUUGAAUUGGAAUAGGCUUACUUGUACCAGGUGGUGUGACAAGUGCUAUCAGGUGCUCUAUUUUGAAUUGUGGCAGUAUAAUUAUCAAAAUAUAUGUAAUAUUAAUUGAAGAAUCCCAUACUCUACUUUUAUUUUUUUCUUCUUAAUUAUUCUUAAGGUUUAAAAAGCUUAACCCGCUGCUAUCUGGUUUUUAUUUAAUUUUUCUAAAGCCUAAAAGCAGUGCUGCUUUCUGUUUGUUUGUUUUUCAUUUUUAAGAAAAUAAAAUGAAAGUACUAAAAGAAUAGCGUGGUGUCAUUAGAAAACUAGAUUAAAGUUCUUGUUUAGAUUUGACCUCUAUGUACGUUUUUAGAUGUGCUGGCAUGAAAUUGGGAUCAUUGGAGAGUUUAUCAUUAUGUUCGCAAGUUUAAUUGUUCUAACAUCGAUUAAUUAAUUACUCUAACAUCGAUUAAUUAAUUACUGUAUGUUUUAAAUUUUAGAUUUUUUAAUUGACAAUGUGGUGCAUGAUUUAUUUCUGAACAUUUUGUCGAUCUUUGUUUAUUUAUUGUUAGUAGCAUUUUUUUAAAAAAGUAGACCUUUUCUAUUUUGCUAGAGGAACAAGAAUUUCAAUAUAACAUGGUAAAAUAGCGCACUACAUACGAGCUAGAACAGCUGAAAUCAACUGUACAGACAAAAUCGACAUUUCAUUCCUUCCCUUUGAUUUUUUUGAGAAAAAAAAUUCUUUUGAAAAAUCCUUUUCCUUUAUCAUUUCUUUUCCUUGUAAGUAAACUAGCACACUAUUGUCUUUUGCUCGCCAAGUUAUUUUUUUAGAUCUUAUCUUAAAAGUAAUGGUGCAUCCGUAUACUUGAAAUCCUUAAUUCACCUCUGGCUUUGAGAUAGUUAUGACUAUUAAUAACGUGACUUAAAGAUAAAAAUAUGAUUUGACAGUUUUGAUAAUUAAAACAUGUGAUGAGUUCCCUCGAAAAUAUUUAAUAAUUUUGGAAGAUGGGGGGAAAUUUGCGUGAACCAUGCUUACAAGAAUGACACACAACGAGAAAUAAUGCAAAACAUGCGAUAUAAAGUAUUGACGUUUAGAAAUAACAUGACAUUAGAAAUAAAAGACAAGUUUAAACUUAUUUGUUUUUCAAAAUAUAAAAAUGUGUACUCUUUUGUAACGAGCUCAAAAAAGAAUAUUUAAUAUACCAAUAUCCAGUCAAAGACUAUUUAUGAAAAAACAAAAUUUGGCACAUAUCUAAAUGUCUUUAAAACUCAUCACCUUAAAUAUGUCAAGACUAGGGGGUAUGACCCGUGUCAGCACAGCCCAACAUGAAGAAUAUUUUUAGUAUUUUAAAAUUGAGUAAACUCUUUAACACGACAUACAAACUCUUAAAAUUGAGUAAACUCUUGACACGACGUUGACUUUGUGCUCCACAAUAUAUAAUUUUUCCAGAGAUAGUAGUUUAUCACGAUAUACACUUGAGCUUUUGAGAAGCCGGUGCAAACUCUCAAGUGAGAUAAAGCAAUUCACUUCCUUCACAAGCUAUACGCCUACGAAUUUCAGUAAAAAACAACGAAAGAUCAAGCUUUCCACUAAUUCAACCCAGUAAAUUCGUCGAAUAACAAAACAACAAGAAGGUUCAAUCUUUCAAGAAACUCAUUCAAAAUUCACCAACACUGUAAAGUAAAAACAAAAAAGUAUCCAAAAUGCAAUGAAUUGCUUCUUCCUAUGUUAAAAUUAGUAUCCCGGAAGAUCCAAAUUCGUAAACCAAUUCACUCCCAAAGGAGAUAAAGCAAUUCACUUCAUCUCCAAGCUCAACACCUAGGAAUAUGAGGAAAACAUCAACAAAAGAUUCAAGGUUGCCAUAAAUUCAACUCAGUAAACUCAUCAAAUGACGCAACAACAAAAAGUUCAAUCUAUCAAGAAACUCAUUCAGAAUUCACCAACCACUGUAAAGUAAACAAGAAAAAUGCAUCCAAUGCAAUAAAUUGCUUCUUCCUUUAUUAAAAUCAGUAUCUUCUAUGUUUUUGUGUUUUAUCUUUAGUGCAUAUAGAACUUGUAAAACAGGCAAAAUCUAGUCCAGAUUUCACGAGUUCUAUGUAUACACUUCUUAUUCUUUGUACAGAAAAAUCAGCAUUUAAACUCUCGGCCUCUUUUUCUUCUUCCUUCUCAGUUUGUCCUCUUGGUUAGUGGUAUUACCAACAAAAAGGCUGAUCUUUUACAAAUAUUCUGUUGGAAUUUGUCUCAUUGACAUGGGAGGCACUGAUUCAAUGCUGAUAAUGAGGCAGAAGAGCUAAAACAAAAACGCUCCUCAGUUGUCCCUUCAGUUCCAGAUAUAGCUUUGGUCUAUGACCAAAAAAGCCAAGAGGGAAUAACAAUAAUACUACUACAUGGCCAUGUGGUAUGAAAUACUUGGCUUAAUCUUAAACAAGAAAAAAUACAGUUUGCAUUCUGGCAAAGAAUGAGGUCUCACACUUUUCUUUUCUGUCAAUUUAUUUUUCUACGUCUACCCUUUAUAAUGAGUGGCGGAGCUAGAAAUUUGACGAAGAGUGUGCAAAUUUUUUUUUCAAGUUGCGUUAAGGGUGUGAAAAAUUAAAUACACACUCAUAAUAACUAACAUUUUAGCCUAUAUACACAACAUAAUUUUCCGACUAAGGGUGUGCACCUGACCAACCUUCGAUAUAGGCGGCUCCGUCCAUGCCUUUAUCCCAAAAGUUCUUAUCAUAUUUAUGAAUCUCACUAAAAACUUUCUUAUAGUCUUUCAAGUCAAAAACAUGGUUCAUAAAAGAAAGCGAAAAACAUACACAACUGUACAAAGUAAUCCAUGCGUACACAAGCUUUCCAAAACCACACAAUCUUCACAAAAUAACUCUAGAAACAAAAAUCUCGACACUUUCAAGUGUGUUCUUUGUUCAAGUACAUGAGAUGCACACCAAUAACCAACAUUAUAGCACGUUUGUUCAAACAAAACCUAAGCUAUUCAAUUUAAUAAUUUGAAUUUUUGUACAAAUUGACUCAUCAAUGAAUAUAUAUAUAAUCCAAUUUUUUUUAAAUGAGUUGAGUGAGUUACAACUUUGGGGUCUAAGGUUGCAUUGUUUUUUCCAAGAUUCAGACGUCUGAAUCUGAAUGCACAUCUAAAUGAUUAAGAUGUUGUCUUUAGAUUUGAAAACUGAAUGAUGUUGUCUUUAGAUUAGAAAACUGAAUGAUUAAUAUUGUUUGUUUUUCAAUAUCUGAAUGUGUAAAAAAAAUUUAUUUGUAUAUAUAAUAAAAUAAAAAAAUACAAUUCAAAUUAAAAACAAAUUAUAUAUUAGAAAAAUAUAUAAUUUAAUACAACAAAUUAUUAUUUAAAAGGGCAGCCCGUUGCACUAAAGCUACCGCUAUGAGCGGUGUCCGGGGAAAGGCCCCACCAUAAGGGUGUAUCACACGCAGCCUUACCUUGCAUUUCUACAGAGGCUGUUUCCAACAAAUUAUUAUUUGAUUGAAAAAAUAUAUUUAUGUUUGUUAGUGAUAGUGGAGAUAGUUUAUUAUGGUGGUUGCGGCGACAAUGAUUGAUGUUAGGAAUCAAUAAUGUUGGUGGUAAUAGUUGUGAUAGUUGGUAUUGUAGUGACUGUUAUGAUGAUGGCAGUUGAUAGUGGUGGUGGUGGUUGUGAUGUGACGUUGAUGGUAAUAGUUGGAGGUGUUGAUUGUGAUGGCUGAAAAAUGAAUGCAUGAUGGUUGACGAUGUAUUGGUUCUAGUUGGAGAUGUUAUUAGCUAUGAUGUUGGAGAUGGUUGUUAGUAGAGAUAAAUUAUAGCGAUGGUAGUGGUUGAAGUGCUGGUAGAGGUGGUGUUACUAGUGACAAUGAUUGUGGCGGCCGAAGAAUGUGUGGAGGUUGUGAUGUAUUAGUGGUAGUUAGUGGUGGUGCUAGUUGUGAUAGAUAAGUUGAUCGAUAGCAGGGAUUGACCGGUAGUGGUUGAUGAUGGUGGUUCUGUUGACGGUGGUGGUGGGGGUGAAUAUAAUUAGAAUAAUAGAGGUAGUAGGUGUGGUAGCGAUCGACAAUAGUGGUUGGUAGCGAAAUUUCUUGUCGAUGGUGGUUGUGAUGGUGGAGGUGGUUGGUGGUGGUGGUGUUGGUGGGUGGUGGUUGAUAAUGGUGGCGGUGGCAGAGGUGGUUAGUGGUGGUGAUUGAUGAUUAUGAACAGAGUGGCGGUGAAUAUUAUCUAACACCAAAAUAUCUUUUCAGACCUAUUAAGACUUGAUUCUAAAUCUGAAUGAUUAAGACGUAUUCAGACCUAUUAAGAGCUAAAAUCUUGAAAAAAACAAAUGCACUUACUGGUCUAAAGUCUGAACCAUUCAAAUUCAGACCUCCAUUAAGUACAAACAAAUUAGCCCUAAAUUAGGUAGCCCUGAGUUCAGUCAAUGUAAAUGCUAUAGCUGCAACAUUAUGUUUUCCAAAUCAAAGUAGAACAGAAAUUCCUUUGAAACAUCUACUUCAACCUCUGAUGGAUUUAACUAAAAACAACACCAACAUUAAGGCAGCCCUACCACUAAUACUAUGUAUAUAUCAACAAAAUCAAACUUUGAUUAAAAAAUCGAAAUCAGGUUUAUCAGUUUCAAUAGAAGCAUAAAGGAUGAACAAAAUGAGAUUCCAUUCUCUUACACAGAAUCCUGUCUCUUUGGUUUAUUAUCCAUAUAAUACAUUUUUAGACCAGGGUUAUUUGGUAUACCAAAUAAGAUAAAUAGGGAUAUUCCAUGCAUGAGAUUAUUUUAUCGCAACCGACAAUGUUCAUAUGGGAAUUGGGAUAAUAAUCCUAUCAUUUUAGUAUAGCUCGAGUUUAGUUAAUAGAGUACUUCAUACUAAACAUGAAAAGUUGAUCUUAAAACUUUAUCCGGGAUUAUAAUAGUCAAAAGCAACAACAUGCAUUUUGUCCCUAUUUUACAAAUGUCAUACAAAAUUCUUUAUAUUAUUCACAAAGACAUUUCAGAAGCUAAGGGAAUUGCUAUUAUUCACAAAGACAUUUCAGAAGGUAAGUGAUUCUCUGCUAUUGGAAAUGGCUUCUCUUUCCACCAGCUCUACUUCUUUUCUUAACAAGGUAUGAGGAUUCUUGCAAAACUCUUCUUUUUUUUUUUUCAAGAAUUGAUCAAAAUCAAUGUAAUCUAACUUUGUUUAUUCACUUUUAUGUACAGAAUGUUGUGUAUUUAUCUUAUUUAUCUCCCCUAAAUAAAUUUCCUACUCAAAAUCCCAGGAGAAGAUUUUCCAAGAAAAUUAUUAACGUGAUCACACAGCCAAGUUCAAGAAUGCCUGCCACCACUGGCUCAGUUAGAUUUAUUUUAUUUACUAUUAAAUCUUGUAUGGUAGCCCAAGUCAGUGGGUAUAUUGUUGUUAUCCAUAUGAGCAUUACCAUGUGAGUCAAGGUUAAGUAGUUCUUUCUCAUAGUACUUAGACGGAUCUAAAUGCUUCUGUAUAUAUUUCCAUCAGAUCAUAUCAUGCAACUUUAUUGAUAAAUCAUAGAUGUCCCAUCAAAUAAGCAACCAAAAUUGAAAAAGCACUCCUAAUUUGACGAGAUGAACUAAUGUCGUAUUACAUGAAGGCAUCACCAAUAGAGUGGACCAAAAAAAUUAGUUUCCCAAGAUAACUUGAUUCUUACAACUCAAGAAGAAGGAUAGGAGUAAAUUUCUACCUGCCUAAGAUAGGAUAACUAGGCUGCUACUUAUAUUCUUGCUGAGCGAAGAAUAUUUUGUCAGCUUUCAAGUCAUGUAUCACUGUAAUCCUCGACAGCAUGCAACUUUAAAAUUGUUCAUAAAACUUUAGCGUUAGUUCAGUUCAUAAGCAGUUGCAAUCAAGACCAUUCACAUAAAACUAAGCAGGAUCAAGAAGAAAGAAACAACCAAUAAUUGCAGCGAAAAGAAAUGGGGCAGGAGAAGUACAUAUGAAUAAGAGAUUCUAUGUUAAAUAGCCAUAAGGCACCAAAGUAAACUUCAAAUCAACACAAAUUUAGACAAAACCACAUGGAAAGAAUCAGAAAGAUGCAAAUCAUAAUGCAGACCGUAAGAAAAUUGCACAUAAAAGCACCUCCAUGGCCAGAGCUAUCGCGAGAAUUUAGUAAGUCGGGCCACGAUAUUCUAAGUAUGCAGCCAGAAGUAAAUAAGAAAAAUACAAAUAAAAUACCUGAGGAGACUACGCAUCCAUGACUGCAGGUGUCCAACCUACAGACAUCUCCCAACGUAUAUAAUAACCUUAUCACAGCAAGAAAACAAAAACGCUAGUCAAAGCUUGAGAAGUUUUAAGGAAGUUACACCCGCAGUAAUCAACAACAUAACCAACUUAUAACAUUUUAAUCUUGAUACUGAAAGCAUAUCCAAAUAUAUCUUUUACAAACCAUGACAUUUUUUUGUACUAACAAUCUCCAUGAAAAUCAAAAUCAUUAGAAAAAGAAAAAAGCACCUCUUGCAAGCAAUAAUCGCAACAAAAAUGCUCCAAAAGCCGAAACUUCACGGCCAAAACAUAUCAAAAAUCACAAAAAUAAGAAGAUAAAGAAUUGCAAAAAGCUCUAAUUUUUAGAACUUUUAGGUGACUUGAACAAUCAUUAAUCUGCAGACAUUAAUUUCUAACACUAAAAUUUGUAAGCCUUAGGAAAACCCACAGAUCUAGAUAUUGUAAGUCACUUGCAUAUUUUCUUCUCUUUUACCAAAAGGUUUUAUCAAAUCAGUUGCACCUAAAUUCUUAUCAUCUAUAUAGAAUAACACCAAUUCCAUCACCAAGGAAUCCAUCCACCCUAAAAGAGUACUUUCUUACACAAUCAAAGGGCAGUCACUAAAGUUCCAUUACCCGUAAUCGAAUCUAAAACCAAGCCGCAUCACCAAAUAUUUCCUUUACCCAUUAUCCAAAUUUUCAAAAAAUCAGUGAACCCAUCCACUGUCGAUUCAGACUAAACAUUUCAUUUUUGAAGCGAAAAGAAAAAGGUGAGAAGAAUUAGAAGGGCUCAAAUUAGGAACAUGCAAGAAGAAUUUUACACCAAUUUCAUUACCAAAGAACCUAUCCACCAUAAAAGUGUGUUUUUUUACCCAAUUUUAAUUAUCCAUUCACCAAAUUUCAUUACCAAAAUAUCAUUUAAACAGAGACAAAAGAAUGAAGAAAGAAUUAAUCAAAAAUAAGCAAAUGAAAGAAGAGAAAACACGAACUAAAUGGAAAAGAGGUGUAAAAACUCUACCAAUUCUAAUCUUGGAAGAGGCUAAAUUGCAAAAGACAGAGACUAUACUCGUAAGACUGCAGGAUGAUGCAUUUGCUACCGCACACACAUGGACAUAAAGUCGCUUCCAGUCAAGACACGUAGAUUGUUAAUAUGUGAAAUGUCCGAAAUAUCCUUUAAAUUCAAUUAAUUGACACAACCAUGUCAAACUCUCUUUUCUCACUACAACAAAAUGAUAUAUAGCUACGAGAUAAAAUUCAUCACUAAUUAUUCACUUUUCAUGAUGAUAAUUACAUUUCGUAUCUAAAUACAUGAAGUACAUACUUUUAGUGAUAAGACAUAAAAUUUUGUAGCAAAGCUUUGUCCUCUAAAGUUUCCCACCAAAAAAUAUUUUGGCUCCAUUUAUUAAGUAUCAUUAGUGACGAAUUUUAAGUUUUUAAUGACACCAUUUUUUGUGGCUAAUAACAUAUUCAAUUCGUGACAAACUAUUAUUUAUCUUAAAUUAGUUACAAUUUUAGACACAUAAAAAUUUCAUCAUAAAAAUAAGUUAUUGCAAUAGCGACAAAUUGAUUUCUUUCACAAUGGCCCCCCCCCUCUCUCUCUCCCAACGGCUCUCUCCCCCUCUCUCUCUCUCCCUACCCUCUCUCCACCCCCAGCUUACCGGCCCCCGAUCCCUGGCGCCGUCGCUGACCUUCGGCGCCAACCCGAUCCGGCCGCCGGCUCUGACCUAAGGUCGCCGGCGCUGGCCAGACCGCUGGCUACGACCUCCGGGCGCCGNNNNNNNNNNNNNNNNNNNNNNNNNNNNNNNNNNNNNNNNNNNNNNNNNNNNNNNNNNNNNNNNNNNNNNNNNNNNNNNNNNNNNNNNNNNNNNNNNNNNNNNNNNNNNNNNNNNNNNNNNNNNNNNNNNNNNNNNNNNNNNNNNNNNNNNNNNNNNNNNNNNNNNNNNNNNNNNNNNNNNNNNNNNNNNNNNNNNNNNNNNNNNNNNNNNNNNNNNNNNNNNNNNNNNNNNNNNNNNNNNNNNNNNNNNNNNNNNNNNNNNNNNNNNNNNNNNNNNNNNNNNNNNNNNNNNNNNNNNNNNNNNNNNNNNNNNNNNNNNNNNNNNNNNNNNNNNNNNNNNNNNNNNNNNNNNNNNNNNNNNNNNNNNNNNNNNNNNNNNNNNNNNNNNNNNNNNNNNNNNNNNNNNNNNNNNNNNNNNNNNNNNNNNNNNNNNNNNNNNNNNNNNNNNNNNNNNNNNNNNNNNNNNNNNNNNNNNNNNNNNNNNNNNNNNNNNNNNNNNNNNNNNNNNNNNNNNNNNNNNNNNNNNNNNNNNNNNNNNNNNNNNNNNNNNNNNNNNNNNNNNNNNNNNNNNNNNNNNNNNNNNNNNNNNNNNNNNNNNNNNNNNNNNNNNNNNNNNNNNNNNNNNNNNNNNNNNNNNNNNNNNNNNNNNNNNNNNNNNNNNNNNNNNNNNNNNNNNNNNNNNNNNNNNNNNNNNNNNNNNNNNNNNNNNNNNNNNNNNNNNNNNNNNNNNNNNNNNNNNNNNNNNNNNNNNNNNNNNNNNNNNNNNNNNNNNNNNNNNNNNNNNNNNNNNNNNNNNNNNNNNNNNNNNNNNNNNNNNNNNNNNNNNNNNNNNNNNNNNNNNNNNNNNNNNNNNNNNNNNNNNNNNNNNNNNNNNNNNNNNNNNNNNNNNNNNNNNNNNNNNNGUUGUGUCAAAUGUAUCAAAAUAUCCUUUAAUCUUAUGGUUCUAAACAUAUCAUGUGAAAAAUUGAAAUUAAAGUAUUGCCAAAAAAAAGAAAUUAUUUUUUUUAAAAGGAUUAAAAAGAAAAGUAUAUCAUUCUUUUUAAAAUAGAAGGAAUAAUUUAUAUUGAAUUAAUCAUUUGUGCAUUAUUUUUGGGUUAUAUUUCUCUAAUCGAGUCUAUCAAAAGAACAAAAAAAUAAAAUAAAAAUUAAAAUGAAUGUAAAAGGCCACAUAAAUGUUUAGAGGAACCACUCUCUAUGUCACUUGACACUGCAAGGGAGUUUUAUAUUAUGGGUGUGUUUGGUACGGUGGAAAAUGUUUUCCUAUUUUUUCUUCUUUGAUUGUAGUAAAAUAUUAGAAAAAUAUUUUUUAAGAUAAUUAUUUUUCUCUAUUCGAGGGAAAAUGACUUUCCUCAUGGAUUAAGGGAAGUCAUUUUUUGAAAAAUGACAAAUGUGAUUUAUGUCCCUAUGCCUACCCCUCUUCCCCACCCCAACAAUACUCAUAUUCACAUGACUCAAAAAAUUCAUAUUUCUCAAAAAUUUACAUUACUCGAAAAUAUUUUUCACUGUGCUUUGUUUCAAUUUUUUACUGCUUAAAACAAAAAAUAGUGAAGCCUAAAUUUUUUUCUUUUCCAAUGUUCGUUGAAUGUAUUGUUAUUUUCAUAUGUAUAGAGGAAGACUUACCUAUACUACUUUUGCUAAUUGCAUAUUUCAUUUUAUCAUCGAUGUAACUUGUUUCACAAGGUUGAAUAAGCUUGUCGUUUCGUUAUAUUUUUAUUACUUGUAAUAUCUUGAGAUUGUCCUAACAAAAUAUUGAAAAGUGUCUCAUAUAUUUGUUAAUUAAUAGUUUCUUAAAUUUAGUGAUUGUAAUAUUUUAGUAUUCGAUAUUAAUAUUAUUUGCUAUGCUUAAAUUAGUUCUAACAAAUUGUUGAGUUGUUAGAGACACUGAUAUACUAGUUAAUAGUUAGUAGUAUUUUCUAAAAAAUAUUUUUUUACUCACCAAUCAAACACUAGAAAAUAUUUUUUUAAAAUUAUUUUCUACUCACUAACUUAACACCAUAAAAUAUUUUUCGAAAAAUAUUUUUCACUCACCAACCAAACACACCCUAUAUGUUACAUUGUUUCCUAUAACUCUAUAUUACCACAGCAAUUUAAAAGUAUUUGAAUAAACGAUGCUAUUAUAUAAAAAAGAUUUGUAAUCCUUGUCAUUCACCGUUUGUUUUCUAGCUAAAGCUAAGGCAUAAUACCUCUUUAAUUUGACCUCAAAUCACAUUUAUGACCUUUAAUUUUUGGUGUGCAUAAAUAGAUACUUAAAUUUGUAUAAAGUUGAACAAGUAGAUAUACAUGUCUUAUGUGGCAUAAUACAUGUAGGACGUCAUGUAGGACAAGAAUUGAUCAUGUAAAACACAACAUAGGACAUGUAUGUUUACUUGUUGAACUUUAUACAAGUUAAAACGUCUAUUUGUACCCACACAAAUUGAAGGAUUCCAUAAAUAUAAUUUAAGGCCAAAUUAAAAUAUAUAUUUAUGUAUUAUGACUAGAACUAAAGUCUUUAAGUUUGUUUGUAAGGGAACAAGGAGGUAGAACCAAAACGACACUCACCUAAACGGGGCAUUAUUCAUUAACAAUGGUAGGGUACAUUCAUUAUCAUGAAUAGGAAACAUAUACUAUGUAUACUUUGGGCAAAAGUUGAGUUUGGUUUCAUGUAUGUGAUAUUUAAUUUAUAUGUUAAAAAUAUAAUUAAGUAAAUAAAAAAAAUAUUUUUUAAAAUAAUUUAAAUUUUUACGUGAGAUGAUUAUACUGUAUAUAUAUUUCAUACACUUCAAUAUGGUAUCAAAGCAAAUAAUGGUCAUGACUCAUGAGUUUGAAUCUGAACGCCACCAAUUAUAAAAAAAAAACACAUAUUUGAUCCAAAAAAAGAACAAGAGAGAAUCAAGCCCGAAAGCGCAUGAGGGUACGUGUUGAAGACAUAACUAAGUGAAUAAUUUGUGCUCAUUUGGUCAUGAUUUUUUUUUCUUUUAUCCGAUUUUUUUUCACUUUAUUCCAAAUACAACUUCAAAUUUGUAUUUGUCUAUGAGAAUUUCAAAUAUAACUUGGAGUUGUUGGAAAAGUCAAAACAAAUAAAAUUUAUUUUUAUUUUUUUCAUUCCUACUUCUCUCACAAAAAUUCAAAAACGACUUUAAUUUAUAUUCUUGGUCAAACACAACUCCAACUCCAAUUCCAACUUCAACUCCAACUUCAACUUCUACUCCAACUCCAAAAAUUAUGAUUUUCAUGAUGAAACGUCUAUAAAUAUGGUUUCUCUAACAACUUAAACAUUUAAAAGAAAUAGCCACGCAUUUCAACAGGUACAACAAAUUCAAGUUAUGUGUACUCUAUAUAAGGAUUCCUUUUACACUAUCAGUGAAGUUUACCCUACAAUCAUAAUAGGUAAGUUAUAUCAACUUUAUUAGAUUAAUAAUCAAUCUUUACAUCAAGAUAUUUAUCUAUACCUAAUAAAUGAUCGGAUUGUAUAAAACUUCAGCUCGCCAACAUUUAUGGUGAAGUAAUAAGUAUUUAUUUAUUUUUUUAAUUAGAGAUUUCGGGUUCAAGUUCUGAGUGUGAAGACGUUUCAUUAUUAGGGAGUGGUAUACAUCGACAUGAGACUUUUUACCAUUAUUUUGAAUUAACCAGGCUCCUCCAAUAGAGAUGUCGAAAAUCUAGUGAAAAAAACAAAGUGAAAAGGAAAACGGAUUAAACUCUCAAACAAGGUACUCCAUAUAUUUUCUCACUUUCUUUGUCUAUAUAUGUUUCUGCUUUUCUGUUUUGACAAAACUUGGGAAGUAGUAUUAUUUAGAUGGAAUUAAUGUUGUUUCCAUUUGGUACUUGGGGAAGUGACCUCCCUCGGCUCCCCCAACAAAACAACUAUUAGCUAAAAACAAUGGAAAAAUGACAUUAAUUAAUUGAGAGGUUUAUUGAUUGUCAAGACUUUGGAUACAACAUAUAACAACCUUUGGUGGUAUACCAAAUAUGUUACUAGAGUGACUUUUGUCUGUUCUUAUUCUCUGUUUUCUUAAUUUGGAAGUACAACAACAUUGCUUAUCUAUAUACUACUACUACUUAUGGGUGCCGUAUCUAUGUUACGUCAUCUGCUUCUGUGCUGUACUAUGUGUUUGUGUGAUAUCUCGUGACUUGAGCCGGGGGUCUUUCGGAAACAGCCUUUCUACUUCAUCAGAGGUAGAGGUAUGGACUGCGUACAUCUUACCCCCCCCCCAGACCCCACUAAGUGGGAAUACACUGGGUUUGUUGUUGUUGUUGUUGCAAUAGCGACAAAUUAGAGUUUGUAGUCAAAUAUUGUAAUUUUUAACUACAAAAUUUGAUAUUUAAUUGUGAUCUCAAUUUUUGUCACUAAUACUAUAAACAAUUAGUGUCGAUCCUUUUAUUGCCUCUAAUUAACCUAUGAUUCAGCGAUAAUAUAAUUUUAUCACAAAAUAUGUCAUCAUAUAAUAGUGUGACGAUUUCAAAUUUGUAGCUGGAUAAUUUAACUAUUUGGUACGAAAAAAGUUUCAUAGCUAAAUAUAAAUUAAUCUUUGACUAUUCUUGUUUAUGAUUAUAGAAAAUGUAUAUCGAUAUAGCUAUAGAAAACAAGAUUCGAUGAAAUCGUGCACCUCUAAUGAAAUCUACUUCAUCGAAAAACACAAUGCAAGACUUCUUGGAGCAUGUCAUCUGUCAUAUCAAAUGACUCAAUGCUAAAGUUGAACCUAAAUGAGUUCAACAAUAAGAAUGUAUUGUCCGGCAGUGGAAUUUUGGUUUGUUAGAGUUGUGACCCAAAUUUUGUUGGUUCGGCCCUGAAAGUUUUGCGGUGCGAUCCAUGUUUGUGAUUUUCAAAGGGAUCUGUGGUGGUAGCGUAGGGAUCGGGCUGAUGUAUGGACCUUUAUAUUUUUGGGCUUAGGACCUAUUGUACGCACGUACUAUAUAAGUGCAAUUUAGUGGGUUAUUUUCAUUAUUCAGAUAAUUCAGCCUUUUUCAUAUUGUACUCUCUCUCCAUUAUAGUGAAACCUCCUCUACCUCUGUCCAUGGUUUUUUUGCAAGAGUUUCUACGUAAAUCUGUGUGUUGUUUUUGUUUCCUUUUACUUAUGGUUUGCUUAUUCUGUCUGAAUCAUAACAUGGUUCAAUAGUAAGGAUGUGAGGUGGCGCAGCUCACGAGUUUGGUUCAACAUUAUCAAAUUCAAUAUUGCAUUUCUACUAUCCUUUUUCUUUAUCACUUACAAAAGUAAAUUAUGUUUAGUAAAAAUAUGGACUAUGACGGUGAAAAAAAAAAUGAAAAGCAUCCACGGAGAGUAAUUUUUUUUGAAUUUAAGAUGGGCUUUUAGCCCGUUUUAUAAAUUAAAAACAAAAAAAAACGGAUUAGUCCACAAAAGGCGACCUGGGUCCAUCACAAAAACCAGACAUAGCAAGGAAAUUCCCUAGUUAGACAAACAUAUCAAUAAACACGAAAUAGAAAACUAAGACAGCCGCCGCCUAUCUCGUCAUCAAAAAUGGCUUCUCCAUCGACCCUCUGCUCCAAUUCAUCGAACCAAGAGUUUAGUUUAUCACCUUCCUUGUCAAAGUUAAGUUCCUUUUUCCCCUUCCUUCAAUUGUUAGUUUAUGGGUUGAGUUACAAUGAAGCUAAUACCACCAUCAUACUAAAAUUAAACUCUAGGGAAUUAGAAAAAUCUAGGUGGUUAUUGUUGUAGAUGUAAACUCUAUAUAUCAAUAAAUUGGCACUAUAGAUCCGAUUUCGUACCGUUUAGUUGCAUUGACCUUCAACAUCCAAAACUCCCACUGGAUAUAGGUGUAGUAAUCGCAAGAACUCAUUUCCAAUGGUAGAUGAAAUCAUUUCCACUGUCAAUCCCUGAUUCAUAUAAUUUGCAAUCUACUCACCCUUUUAAUUUGGUUUUCAUCUAGAUUGCAAGUACAUUUAAAAAAUUUCUUCUCAGCUGAAUUGACCAGAAAAGAAGGAACUGCCUUGAUGCCAACAGGUUCUUGUUUCUGACAAUCUCUGCCUGUACACUAUUAAGCAAGUUCUGUAAAUGAAGUACAUUCUUUCCUAUUUUGCUUCCUCUUUGUUGAUAUUGUGUCUCUGCUUGCACAUGUUAGGCAUUAAAAUGAGUAAUAUCUUCUUGCACCAUUCUUCUGAUUUUAGGAAUGCUUGUUUUAUCCAGUGUUAAAGUGGCUUUUCCUUGACUUGGUAAUUUCUCCUCAUAAUUGAAUUGAAAAUUACCUGCACAAGUGAACACAAAGUUAGCCAAAAAAUCAGCUAGAGUGUUACCUUCCCUAAGAGAAUGUACCAUUAUAACUGAUAUACACUCCAUCAAAUACUUGAUGGAUUUAACCACCAUUGCAAUUCUCCAUGGGAUUUCCCACUGUAAGUUCAAAAUUUGCACCAUACUCCAGGAAUCACUUUACAAAAAAAUCUACUUUAUGGAAUUUCUACUGCAAUAUAAUAAACAUUCCUUCAUAGCCAAAACCUCAACCCCCAAACUUGUGGAAUCUUUGAUUCUGAACCCCUGAUCUACCACCAAAUUACCUAUAUCAUCCCUUAUACAAAAUGCAAUAACACUGGGCCUAGGGUUUUCUUUUGAUGGACCAUUUAUGUUCCCUCUUAGCCAACCCCUGUGAGGAGGAGACCAUGAAAUUAACUUAAAAGUAGUCACUAAUCUUGUUGCUUGCAGUUCAUCCACAAUUCUGGUCCACUCUCUUUCUUUCAUUUGAACCCUAAAUUUCAGCUUGAUAAAUCUCACUAUAGUCUUAGCAUCCACGGAGAGUCUUUAAGUCCGACAAGAAUAAAAUUAGAAUAUUAUCAAAUUAAUCACACAUCUUGUAACUGAUUACUUGUUUAGUUCUAUAUAUUUCUUUGACCAAUUUAAAUACACCAGCAAAAAACAAAACAAGAAUGAAUAAAUCAUUCUAUAAAAAUGAAAAACAAGGUUCGAAGAGAUUUCAGGCUGAUUAGCAUGAGUUGGUUGCUGUAUUCUAAGCCUUACUACCAGUUAUGGCCAGAGAUAUACUAGGUAGAGAAGAGCCUACUGUUUAGCCAAAAAUUCUACUCUUGAAAUGCCAACAAUAGUAGGAUUUCUGACUAGCAAUAUGAUAAUGCACCAUGAAAUUGAGUGAUUCAAAGCUCCAGCUCAUAUCAAGGUUCUAAUACCAACACCAAAAGCCCAAUGACACAACAUAUGUAUAAUGAAAAAUGCCAUGACAUCUUUUAAAAUAUGAAAAUGGUUAGAAAUAUAACAAAGUUGGACAUUUGAAAUACGUAGUACUAUAAAUUCAAUAGUUUGCCAUAAAAAUUCAAGUUCAAACAAAAUUUGUAGGUAGACAAAAAACCUCCUAAACUACGUUCAAGGGGAACAACUGAAAAAAAAGAUACUUCAUAAACUGAAUUCACUGAAUUCUUCUAAUCGAAAAGACUGAACCCCAUGUCAUGAAAAAGAAAUUCGAGAAAAACAUAUAAGCACCGCCAUCAAAAGGUACUGAAGCCACUUUUCUCUGCCAACAACAAUCAGCUUAGUGAUAUCUUUGCCCUUAACUUCAGAGAGUAGUAAUUGAAUUCCAUCAUCUUCACUCUCAGCUCUAACUGCAGCAAAUAUUCAAAUUUUAAUUCUAAAUGGACCACUAUAACUAGUAGACGUGUAUGACAAAUAAGAAUAACAAGCCAGAACAAUUUAUAAUGGUAAUUUACAAUAAUAACAUAUCACCAGCUAUAAUACAUUACAUAAAAAUAGUGCAAUUUGAAUCAAUAUUUACAAGCUCAGAAGCAUCAACGGAUUAACACAUCAUCAGUUUAAGAGACUUCAUAGAGAAACCCAAAUACAAAAUAAUAUUUGAUAGGAUAAUUAGAAAGUAUCAACUUAAGACAUUUCAAGUCAAAUCAAUUACUGCAUUGUUCUUUAUGCAAGCUAAACAAGGACCAUGAAAACCAAAAACUAUUAACAUAUGAGGUAAUGUAACCAAGAUGCUUAACUUCAUGAAACUUCAUAACACCCUCUUCAAGGGGACAACGAAACCACUCCUUCAAUACCAAUUUACAUGAUUAUACAUUUAAGAACAUUUCCUAGAUCCCAAAAUAGUUAACACUAGUUCACUAACAACAUUGUUUUGGUAUAUAGCUUUCAUAAUUUCCAAAAUUCAUAUUAUCAAACUAAUUUUCCACAAUUCCUUGAACUCAUACUCGGUCAUACUUCUAAUUUACAAUGAAUAGUGUACUGUUCUCCUAAUACCAAAGAUAGAUAAUAUACAUGACAUAUACGUACCUCAUGUAUGUAACUACAGUAGCAACAACCCUAGAAAUAAACCACAUACUAGAUCCUACAUUUUAGGAAGUAGCAAAAACAAGUGCUCUAAGAAGAAAAAAAUUACACACACACAUAUUGUCAGUUCCUUUAUGUGAAUAUUAAGGAGAUACAAGAACAAACACUCAGGUCCAAAUAGCACUCUUGAAAUAUUUGUGAUGAAAAAUAUAACUAUGGUGAUAGAUAAUCUACAUCUUAUGAUCCAAAGAUUGAGCAGAAGAUACACUUAAGUAUUAUAAGAGCAUUGACAUUCCUCUCUCACCGAGCAAGUCUUCUAACUAUUAAAGAGCUAUAGCUAGUAGAUUAUCCACCUUAUUCACAUCCAACUAAUAAAAUAGAAUUGUAGAUAUAUGAACACAUAAAUAUAGAGAAACAUAUGUAUUCCUCCAGGAAAAUAACAGGUCUAAACAAAUGUUGACCAUGUCUCAUUAUAAAAAAAUAUGGCAUGAUCAUAACAUCGAAUAUGCAUGUUCUUUUUUUCAGACCAAAUAGCUUUUCUAGUUUUUAGCUAAAGGUUAUAAUCCUCAACGAAAUGUUAGGCUCUUAAUAGCGAUGCUAAUAAAGGAACAUAAGAAAUGCUUAUUACUUAUAAAAGAAGUUUUACAAGAAUACUAGGAGAGAAAACAAACCUUUGUCUCACUCUCACACUUUGAACCAAUUUUGCAACAUCUGUGAGGAACCAGAAAAUUAAACAAAUCAAAUGUAAUGGGAAAAGUUAAUUGAUUUAUAAUGUGCAAGAUCAUAAUUGAUGAUAAGAAACUGCAAGCCAGGAAACCAGUCACAUAUACAUUAAAAGAAAAUGGCCAACAAGUAAGCAACGAUAACCUUACUUAUUAUGAGGUUAUAUCAUAAGUCAAUAUCGUCAUUGUCAUCUGUGAUAUUAGCUUCAUUGUUAGUUGUUCUAUUAUUACCUUCAUUCUCCUCAUGGUCACUAAUGUACUCAACCAUAGUAUCAUCCUCUUGGUCAGAAUCUUCUCCAUUAUAAUCAACUUCAACUUCAUAUUCUGUUUGAGCCUCCAAUUCAAUUACAUUUGCAUCUAUGGUAAUCGACUCAACAUCAUCUCUAUGUAGUUGACUCAAUAUAUCAUUUGUAUCAUUAACAAUUGAUUUACUUUCAAGUGAUGUAUCUUGAUACACUUCAGCAUUUGUAAUAGGCAACUCAUCAUUUUCUACCUCUGACUUUUCCUUUUCUGGAACAUCAUAUAUGUGCCUAGCUUGAAAUUUAAGCACAAUUCGCCAAUCUUCCCCUAGUUUUGGGUCAUUAAUAUAAAAUACUUGCUUUGUUUGAGUAGCUAGUACAAAAGGAUCAUGUUCAUACUGUUAUACCCCAUUUUAACAUGGGUUAAAUCGAGGUACAACAUAUUGGAAAACUUUUGAUUAAAUUUAAGGAAGUCGCCACCUAAUUAGUUCUACGGUGAAUUAGAACACCUAUUAUAAACUAAGUGAUCUAAAGAAAUGAAAGACUUCAUUUUAAGGUCUACGCAACUUAAAAUUCUAGGUAAGGAUUCUAUUUAUCCUAAAGGAAAGGGAUUAGGCACCCUAAAGGAUCCGCUAACUACGGUUAACCGGCCAAACUUAGAUUAGAUAAUGAAAUAAAAUAUUAAAAUAAGAUAUAGGUAAGGCGUAAAAUUUAUCUUUUAUAAGAUAAUUUACAAUAAUAAUAUUAAACCUCACCAUAGAACCUAUUUUUUUUAAAAUUAUUUAAGAUAAUAUUUUAUAAUACCUCCUAAAAAUGAUGUAACAUUAAUUUGUCAAAAAGAAAGUUAUUUAAAGUCAUUUUCUUUACAAAAAAAAAUUUAACUGAUAAUUAAAGAGCUAAUUAUAUUAAGAACUCCACAUUUUACAAUUCUAAAAAAUGACCCUUUUUCUUCUUCUUUUUUUUUUAAAUCAAAUUUCAUAAAAAUAAGUUAAUUUUCCUACACUAAGUGAAUAGAUAAAAUAUAUGGUUGUUUGAAUCUAAAAUGUUUGAGAGAAUUUACUUAUCUUUUUAUUACGAAAAGGACUCAUGUAAAAAAAUAUAUAUAUUCUUUGUUAUUUGAUAUCCUAAAAAAGGCCUUGCAAAAUUAAAUUGUCAACGUUUAUUUAAGAUUGAUGACAACAGAAUUAAUUUACCAUAUCUGAAAUAAUUAAGGCCAAUUUCAGAGUCUAGCGAUGAUAAAUUCUCCUAAAGCGAAAACCUAUAUUUUAUUAAUUUGACAUUACUAAUUAGCUAACUCUAAUUUUAUUCUAAAGGAAAAUGGCUUUCUAAUAAUUAGGUCAUCAAACUCUAAAAGAUAUAUUUUUUCUAUCAAAUUUUAACCUUUAAUGAUAUAGAUUAAAUGCCUAAGCCUAACAAUUAUACUAAAUUUAACAUCUAAUGAGCAAAAGAGAACAAUUAACUUCGCUAACACAUUUAGGAAAUCACACUAAUUCAAAUAAAAAAUAUAAAACACAAAUUUUAAAUAGUAACAUGCGAAAUGUUAAAGGAUGGUAAUAAUAGGUAUCUACAAAGAAAGAGAUAAGCUAGCAANNNNNNNNNNNNNNNNNNNNNNNNNNNNNNNNAAUGCAAUAUUUCUUCGCUUCUCUGAUUUGGACAGAGAUGGAGUCAAGCUAUGAGACCCCAAAUGCGCUCCCGAGUGUACAUAUAAAAAAUAAGAAAGAUAAGAAUCAGAUACUCAAGUUUCGAUGAAGAAAUAACACGAUUAAACAUGAUAAAUAAAAUGCUACAUACGAGCGAUUUAAAUAUUCCCACAUAAAACAAAUAUAUACAAAUGUAUUUUCAUGGCAUAAGGGUUUUGGAGGAUAAAGCAAUUUUACUACUAAAAUGUUGUAGCAACAAUGUAAGCACAGGUGCUACUAAUUUAAAAAUAUAGUUAAUGAAGAAAAACACUAGUAUGAUUGUUUAGAUAUCUACACCUUGAUACUUCUAAAGUGAUCACUUGUGAGUAAUAGAGUCAUAAUCCAUUCGUUGGAGUUUCCAUAUUUCCAUUAUAAAUGGACCUUAUUGAAUGGAAAGACAAAAAAAGAGAAAAAAAGCUUCCAUGCUAAACGGGAAGUAAGGUUCUGUAGAAUGCAUUGACAUUGAUGCACACUGCCCCACUUAUCAUAUACUUUCUCUCAAUCCUGCAAUUUUUGGAGUAGUAUAUUAUUUCUAACCAACAAAGCUAUAUUGCUAUUUAGAGUCCUCUUUCAAUAAUUAUGGAGUAAACUAUGCAGGUUUGAGAGGGUGCGUGUCGGUUUUGCUAAAAAAUAGCAUACUUUGUUAAAAAAAUUGACAUGAAUGCGAUAUCAAAAAUAAAGAAUUUGCGCAACUUAGACUUUAGUUAGGAUUGAGCCGAAGGUUUCCACUUUCUCUCCAGAACAAACUAUGCAAAGUUUGUUUUUAAUAGCACGUGAAAUUAGAUAACAAAGAGAAAAGAAAAAAAAAUUAAGCAAACUCCUCUGUUCUUGCACAUCUCAGCCUAACAACAUGUCUCUAGCUAAGCACCUAAAGAAUAUAUCCCUUAUUUUACAAAAGAAGAUAAAGUAAAAAGACCGAAGUAGAUCAUGUUGGCAUACUACAAUCAUCUAUUACAACUUCUAUGGAUAAAAUUCUUGAUUUUCAAACACUUAGUAAAUUCAAAUAAAUAUCUUAAAAAAUUUCCAGUAACUUAUCAUCAAUGGGCUUCUUGAUAUUUUAAGCUUAGAAAAUUUCCAGUAACUUAUCAUCAAUAGGCUUCUUCAUAUUUUAAGCUAACAAUACACGUAUUACACUAUUAUACCCCAUCUACUUAACAGAUUUCAUCGGCCCCAAACCAAGUUAAUGUAUCAUGGCUAAAUCAUAACGACGUGAAGAAUUUGAGAUAUGCGAUUGUAAUUUUCAUAUCUCUUCUUUCUUUUCUUUUUUUAAGCUCCUUACAUGCUAGAAAAUAAUAAUGAAAAUUAACAAAAAAUAAGGUGAAGGCAAAGAAAUGGAAAGUUAGAUCGACUGCACAACUAGUUACAAAUCAAGAAGUUAAAUAAAAGGAAAAAAAUAUGUCCAUGUGUUCCUCUAGCCACACACUGAUAUUAACAGGGGAACAACAUAAGCAACCUCUUUCAAACAAAUAAUCGAACAAAAAAAUUCAUAGAGUAGCUAGAACACAAAAAUUUAUAGAGCAUCUAGAACACUCCUAUGAUUGUGUUUAGUAAAAAAAAUAUUGAGAAAUGUUACUGACCUUUUCUAUGUCUGCGAACUAGGACGACAAGUCAAAGAACGAAUCUACCACUAUCCUUGACUAAAAACCUGAUCGAUGAAAGAAAACAGUGGCAGUGGUGAGAGUAAACCCAAACAAAGAAGAUAGAAAAUUUUGUAAAUUAAAAAUGUGGUCAUGAUUCUCCAAAAAAUCUCUCCAAAAAAACUCCCCUUUUUUCUUCUACUGAAUCCCCUUUUAUAUGGGUUCUUGGAUUGCAAUGCCUUUUUGAGGCUUUCAACAGUUCCUAAAAAUAAAUUUGAAUUUCGAAUUCAUUAGGAAGGCUAAUUCAAUAGGAUUAAUAGGUGAAAAGAAAUAAGGGUCAAAAAAGGGUUCAUUUCUUUUAAUCAAAUUAAAAAAAAGUGAUAAAUUAAAGGUAAUAGAGGCUUAAGUUCAUCGGAUUAAGCUCCAUAGCUGUCGAAUCAAGGGUGAAAUGCCUCAAAUCCAAUGGAUUUUUGGAGUUUCCUUUAUCUUUUCUGAGUUUGUAGAGCCUCAGGCUUGAUUUGCUGGAACAAAAAGAGAAAAGAGAUAGAAGGUGAUAACCCAACGAAUUUGUAUCCGUCCAUCGGUCUGAAGAUUAUCAUUUGGAGUUGUUGUAUGUUGGUUUUGCCACAGUUGUGUUGUUGAUUUUUCCAUAUUGCAUUGAUGUGUGCGUAUGUUGUUCAUGUAUAACUGUUGUUGUUUUGUUAGAAUGGUUAAGGGGAAGAGAGUUGGGCUGAGGCGGUAUGUUUAGGCUGAGUUAAGUGGGAAAAGAGGAAGGUGUUUGGGCCGAUGGGAUUAUUGUUGUUGGGCUGCACAGCUGAAAAUAUUGUUGGGUUUUGUUAGUGUAACGUCCCGAGUCUGUACCCCGGAUGCUACACGAUGCUUACGACCACGAAGGACCAUAAGCUAACCCAUGACUGAUAUCUGCUGUGAGCACUGAAACAUAUUACUGUAAGAAAUGCAGAAAAUAGGUUGAAAUGCCAUAAGGUUCAAAUCUAUAAAUAAUGCUAAAGUGUAUCAACUAAAAUAACAAUCUCUAAAACUGACCAUUGUUUGAAAACUAUCUGAAAAUCCCCUAACUGGAACUGUCUGAAAAUGGAGUUGAUGGGAAAUCCUCCACUAACUCUUUCUACUAAAAUACUGAGUCUACUAAAAUAAUAAAGUAAAAGAAUAUCCUCAAAUGAUGAGGACUCACAGUUAGUCUACUGUUGCUGGCUGAAUCUAAAUUUAUCUAUGCGCGAUCGGGAAUCUGAGCGUCCAAACCUAUGAUAUGAGACAUUAUAGCGCAAAGAAAGAGUAUGUGUCAAAACGUAAAAUUUACUGAUAUGCUAGAUGAGGUAAGGAUAAAUGCAAGGGUUCAUAUGCAUGAACAAUAACUGAUUGGUUGAUAUAGAGUAACUGAUCAUAAAAAUACAUGGAUAACUGAUACUGCCUUAAAUUCUGAGUAUGCAGUAAUGUGCAUAUAAAUAAAUAAUGUGACUAAGCUUGUCUGAAGCUAAGUCCUAAAUUUUGAUACUAAGUAGCUGAUAUUGACUAAGUUUGUCUGAAGCUAAGUCCUAAAUUUUGAUACUAAGUAGCUGAUAUCUGAAGUUACUGAUAAUUGAUUUACUGAUAUUGGUUAACUGUAUUUCACAGUCCUGAUUCUGUAGAACUGAACUGAGUUCUAUUCUAAAGAUUGAGACUGGGAAUAUAGGAGGUAAUCAUCUAACUGAUAUGCCCCAAAUAAGAUAACUGAGUUGGGGUCCAACCUGUAACCCAGUUGGAAGGGUGUCAGUACCAUGCCACGGGUAAAGACACUGAAGAGUUACCCUCAUCUGGCAGGUACUCAAAUGAGAACGGUGGAACCCUCAUCUGGCAGGUUAAAACACCUCAUCAACCAUCAAUUGGAAGGUUUGAUGUCUCAACCUACGCUGGCUACAUAGUUCUAGAAUGCUAGGAUUACUUCUAAGGAUUACACCCUCUACUGGAAAAUGAGCCCCCAUCCUUGGGUUCACGUAGUGCUGAAUCCUACUCCCAAAUGAAAGACACUGAACUGGACUACACUGAUAUUGAGUUUACUGAGUUUUCCUAAGUUCUGUAAUUGACUGAGUUCUGUAACUGACUGGAUUCUACUGAUUGGGACAUGACUGAUACUAUUCUGUAAUUGACACUGGCUCUAGGUGCACAACUAAAUUAUCGGGUAUUAAAUACCUCCAGGACUCGAUAGCAUAAAAAAAAAGCAUAGCAUGAUAUUGAGAUACACAACAAUGUACACUUGUCCAUAAUUCAUUCAUAAAAGCAUUUCAUCAAACACUUGCGGGGCAUAAGUUUGUACAUGAUUGGGAUCACAUAAUGACAUGUCAAGAUUCCACUAUCUACUUCACAUAGGCAUUUUAGCAAACACUUGGAGAGCAUGCAUAGGUUAUAAAAUAAUCAAAACAUAUAGUCAUCAUGGAUACAUCAAUCAACUUGCAAAUUGAAGGGUUUAUCAUGAAGAUCAUGUAAUUCAACACAUACAAUGAUUAAUUUCAUAAAAGCAUGUAAUUUAAUCAUGAACUAAAACUGAACAAUAAUUUGAACGUGAAUUCAAUUCAAUUCAAGCAUGGAAGUUCAUAAUUCGACUAUCUUGUAGUUUGAAAAUGGAUUUGUGGACUCUAUGGGUGAAAGGAACCCAUAGAUGAACACCUAACAUACCUUAAUUUUUGAGUUUCUUGAAGUUCUUGGUGAAUCCUUUGAGAUUGCUCUUGGUUUCUUGAAGCUAGGGUUUGUAGUUUUGAGAGAGAAUACUUUUAAUUUGGGGAUAAAUUGAGUGAGUAAUGAUUUAAAACAUUUUUAGGGAUAAAAUCACGUAUUUGGGCGUGUUAAAAUCACGGGAAAAAACUAUUUUAACCUUGGACAAAACAUUUAAUUUCCAUCAAAGUUUUUCAAAAUAGGCACCUGGCGCGAUGUGGUGCUAUCAUGCCGUGUCUCUAGAAAUUUCCAACUGGGAUGAUGCAUAGUGGCGUGAUGCAGUGGUAUCGUGUUCCCACUUUGGUUAGGACCUGGAAGUUCAUUGCGAUGCGGUUGAAUCGCAUUGGUACACUGGAAAUUGACAAAUAUGAAAAUAACCUAUGGCGCGAUGCGCCGGUAUUGUGGUACUUUAAUGGAAACUGACAAUUUCCAUUUUGACAUAAUCCGCGAUGUGCUACUGGCCUGAAUGACAGUGUUUAACGACUGAAACUUAUAAUAGCCAUAAAUUCUUAGCUGGUUAUCAAAUUUAGACGAAUUUUAUAUCGUUGGAAAGCUAAUUAAAUUUUCUAUAAAAUGGUAGGAUUUAAACUAAAAAAUACUGAGUGUUUCAAAUAUUUUAUAUUGGAUAACUCAUAAACUGAGAGUUAAGUUAAGCUUGAGAAAUAUGGGAUAUUACAUUAUCUCCCCCUUGGGAACAUUCAUCCUUAAAUGAGAAUGAUUAAGCUGAGACACUAAUAAACUGAUUUUACAUACUGAACAUGCAUAUCUGAUGCAUGACUACAUGACUAUACUACUGAUAAACUGAGCUCUUACACUGAACAUACAUAUCUGAUGCAUGGAAUUUAUGACUGAAGCUACUGACAAGCUGGGUUUUCAUACUGAACAUGUAUAUCUGAUGGAUGUGUACAUGAUUGAACUGAUUCUUGAAUGCAUGACAGAAUAUGCAAUAGAAAUGGAUACCAAUUUAUAAUUAUAGAUGAAUAUGAAACUGAGUAAAGAUAAAGAAGACUGUUACCUUUAGUUGGAUCUGAGGUUGCGAAGAAGAGG